RNAcentral lists this long non-coding RNA (46112 nucleotides) under Physcomitrium patens. Its description in RNAcentral is "long non-coding RNA (PPAT_LNC011011)". Lineage: Eukaryota; Viridiplantae; Streptophyta; Bryopsida; Funariales; Funariaceae. The record is from RNAcentral.
UUUAGUAUAACGACCCCCUCAAAUUAUGAAACCACCUGCUCUAACAUGUCACCUGCUGCUGGUGCACCACCCAAAUGGCUCGUGGUCACCAUCAACUAUCUGCACCAUCCUCCAGUUUUGGAAAAGUCUUCAUGAACCAGAGGUACUGUGCCUGAGAUGCUUCACUCAUGUUCUCAAUCUGAGAUGGAUUAGGGGCAUCGACGACGGGUGGGACGGCUGCGUGGGGUAAAUCACCCGGCUGUGCAGCAGCACCUGGCUGCAAAAGGGCAUGAGCUUCACCACCUCCUCCUGCAACCCCGUCGCCUCCAAUCAACGGCUGUUCACUUUCGACCGACGAAUUCUCCUCACCUUCGACGAACUGCUCCUCAUAUUCAGAGGCCUGCGCGAUCCCCACAUUCGUGCUUUCUUCCUCUACGUCAGAGUGCUUGUCAGUAACCCCACCGGCUUCGAGCUCGCUUCCGGUUUUUUUUAGUUUUGUUGCGGCUGUCGCAACCUCAGUGGAAUGCAAAAGACUCUGCUUAUCUAAGUCCGCGGCCUUGUCCAAGUCCUCGUCCGCGACCGUAUCCGCGGAUGGAGGCGAAGGAAUUCCAUUCAGACCGUCACCCGUGCUGAACAUUCUCACAAAAAGUAAUUAUCCAUUUGCAAACCAGAACCCUACCACAAGAAACCCUCACAGUAAACAUAUAGAUUUAAACGUAUAAAGAUCCAAAUUUCACGCUAGAAUUCCAAAAUUGCACAGGUGAAGAUGCUAAGGCAAACGAUUGCGCUAAAUUUGCAAAACAACUCCAUAGACAGGGCAAUUACGUGAUUACUGCCAGAGAGCUGCCCCAUCGCACAAUUCCUAACUAAAAAAUAGCAACAAACAGAACGAGGCAAUACAACACUCAACCCACCUGCGAACGGACGUGAUCUGCUCUGGCUCGGCUGCCAUUCCGCUCUCCAGGCUGGGUGGUGCUGGGGUGUGGUAAAUCAUGAUCCGGCGUGGGCAGUGCGGGGGCAAAAGCGUGAUAGAGAAAGGAGUGAAUGACGAAAAACAUAGGUCUGCUGUGCAUUUAUGGACGUAUAUCAUGAAGCCCUAAAAUCAGGUUGGGGGGCCAGGAAGUGGCCCCAUUCCUUCUUCAUCGCAAGCGUGGACUGGGUAAAAUCCCCACCUGGUCCAGUCAUUCAUUUCGUCGAAGCUUGCACAACAGAAGGGAAGGAAGGGCAGGGAAGGGAAGGACCUGCCAAGGACCUGACAGAGUUGCAGUGCUACGCAUAUCCACCCUUCCCUCGGAAAUACGCCUACCACUUGCAUCUCUUCUGAAUUAAUAUCAAAUAAUAUUCCACUUUCCUUGCAUAUAAACAGAUUCACGUGUCUGUACUUCUGUACUGACACACACAAACAUAAAAGUAAAAGUUCAGAAAGUACAUCUUCGAAAAAGCAUCACAGUGAUUAUUGAUUGCAGAACAAAAAUUAAAAUUGUAGAAACUUAAUCAUUUUUAUAUUUGAAAAAUUUCAAUAUACACAUUUGCAUUACAAUAAUUUCAUAUAAUUGAAAAUUAUGUGUGCAUGUGUGUAUAUAUAUAUAUAUAUAUAUAUAUAUAUAAAUGUAUGUAUGUAUAUAAACAGAAAUAUUCCUAAUAACACUUUAGUUUUUUUUCACAUGCCACCAAUUUUUUUGUUAUUGUCAUCUUAACUUGUCAUCCACAUGUCAUUUUAUUUAAUUAUUUUUUAUAAUUCUAUUAUAUAUAUAUAUAUAUAUAUAUUUUAAUUUAUUUUAUUUUCAAAUAAAUUUAGAAAGUAAAAUUAAUUUUAUUAAAAAAAAUUGUAAAAUUAAUAAGAAUAAGUUACAAUGGUGGUAAUAUUAAAAACAUCUUAUAUAUGUAUGUUUGUAUGUAUGUAUGUAUGUAUGUAUGUUGUUAUUAUUAUUAUUAUUAUUAUUAUAGUGCUAAGUAUAUUUGUUAGUUUAUCUAGUCUUAUAAUGUAUAUGAUCAAUUAUUUUAGAAUCAAAAUAUGUAGAUGUUUUCAUUCAAUGGUUAGACUAAGAAGUUUUUGAAAUGUUCACAACAAGCUUAGAGGAUUAUAAGGACAUGAAUAUCAAACAAUAAAAUCCUCAAUACACUCUUGCGACACUUAAGAAGAGUAAAUAUUCACUCAAAGAUAUUAAUAUUUAAGAAUUAAAAUGACUAGUGCCAAAGACAAGAAGACUAGAGAUUCUUGAAACAAGACUAGGAAUAAGAAAGGCAUUGACAAGAGUCAAGAAAACUUCACUCUUGCCUCCAUAUAUACUAUAUAACUAGGAGCUAUGUGACAAUGUUCUAUAAGAUCUCUAAUAUGUAUUUAAUUUGCAAGUCAUGUGUCUUGACUUAUAGGACAAGUUUUCUAUGCGUGUGUUACAUGGUUAGUUUAUACUACAAGAUACAAACACGUGUAAUACAUGGCUAACUUGUUGGCCAAGUAUUCAACCUACCAAUCAUCUAUAAACACAUAUAUAGGUCAAAUUGCAUCUAUAAAUCUUCUAAAAAGCUUAUUUAUAAGAUUAAUUAAUGAUUGAAAAUAAUGUAUAUUAGGAAGUCAACUUAAAUAGUAUAGAAUAUAUACCUUUUUAUUUUGGCAUAUAAUCGUGUAUUUCUAAGUUUUUGUAGUAUAUGACAAACAUGAAGUUCAUAUUUUUUUUGUGUUCUUAGAAUAGAUUAGAUUAUUGUUUAAAUAGCAUACAACAAAAUCAUGAAGAAUUUUAUAAAAUAAAAGUCUUUUAUAAGAUAUUGAAAAGUAAUUGGUGUAUUUGUGAGUCCAAAAGGCAUGACAUUAUAUUUGAAAUGUCUAUACCUAAUUUUAAAAAGAGUCUUCUAUUUAUGUCUUUUAAUGUGAACCAGCUUAUAAGUUCCUCGUAGAUCUAUUUUUGUAUAGAUCUUUGCUUGAUUGAAUUGGUCAAGAAGUCUUGAAAUUAGAGAUAAAAGUUACCUAUUCUUGAUGGUGAUAUUAUUAAGUCUUUGAUACUCUAUAAACAUCCGUAGAGUUUCAAUUGUUUUUUAUGCAAACAAGAUAGGAACUUCUAUUGGAGAUUUUGAAUAGCAUAUGAAGUUUUUGGCCAAGUUCUUGUUAAUGUAUUCUUUUGGUGCAGCCAACUUCUUUUGUAAUAAGUUGUAGAUUGGUACAAAUGGCAGUUGAGCUCCUUCUUAAAGAUUAAUUGAACAAUCAUAUAGUCAAUACUUUGAAAGAAUAUUUUUGUUUUUCUUUCCAAAAAUAUCUUGAAAAUCUUGAUAUUUGCUAAAAAUACUACUUAACAUCUUUCUACCAUUAGAAGUGGGCAUGACAUAUAUAGCAAAAGAUGACCCUUUUUUUGCCACAUGUAUGUAAGUUCUUGCAUAUAUUAAUAAAGAUUAUGAUAUAUUAGACUUAUGAAUUCAUGCAUGACUUAAGAAAUCUUGGAUUAAAUUACAAGAAAAGAAAAAUCAUGGAUGCUACACUUUAUGGAAGUGAGAAUAGAUUUGUAACUAUUGAAAAUCUUCAUAAAUUGGUCAAUAUUCUUAGGGUAGAAAUUUCAUACAUUAUUAGUGUCAAUAAUGGAAUUACUAAUCUUAUACCUAUGGAAGAAGUUCAAAAUCAAUAUUAAAAAGUUGUGUAGUUGAAAGAAACAAAUAGAUCGACCUCACAACCAAAUCUAGAAAGUUUUGCUUCUACAAGUAUGACAAGGAUAAGGAUUAGUAUGCCCAAGAAGUAUGAUGGUAGAAUAUUAAAAUUACAAGGAUUUUUGCAACAAGUCAAGCUCUAUCUAAAGUUGCAUUCUUUCCAAUAUCCUAAUGGAUUUACUCAAUUUGGCUUCAUAGAUCCAUUUAUAUCUAGAAGUACUCUUUUUUAUUUAUACUUUGAUAAAAAAAAGUAUGAACUCUCAAUUAUGCUCCAAAAUUUAAAACUUUAUUAUUUCUUUAUUUUAUAAUAAUUAAACAUAUUAGAUUAGGAUUUAUAUAAGUAGAAUUUAGUUUUAUAGAACUUUUGAUAUUUUAACAUUUGAUGGUAUAAAUCAUCGCCUAAUUCCUUGAAUUAGAUUAAUUAGGACUAAAGUGAUAAGAGUUAGAAAAUUAAAAUAGUAACUUAAUUAGUUUUAAUAAUUUAGAAGUUGUUAGUUACUACUACGAGGGUUGACUCAAAGCCUAUGAGUUCACCUACAAUCAUCUCAUAUGAUUUAGAGUAAAUUAGAAUUAUAAUUUUUUAAAAUAUCUAGUGAAGUUUAGCAAUGAUAGUUAUGAGAUUUCUUCCAAAUUCAACAAAUUUAAGCAGUAUAUUGGUUUUCUUAUUUAAUUGAAGUCUUUCAAAUGCAAUGGUGGCACCAGAUUCACCUUGUAGAGUGAAGAAAAUAAGAUCAGCACCCUCUCCUUCAAAAUACAAGUGGAACAAUGAAAUUCUUAUUUUGAAGAAUUUUACAAGAAUUACCAAGAUCCUUGCGAGUAAAAACUUUCAUAAAAAUUACAAAUGACUAUGGAUUGAGGCAAAUGAGUAGUCAAUCUUAGCAUAAAAAGGUGUUGUGAAUACAAUGGUAAAUUUAGAUUUACCAAAAAGUGCUUUCUUGACCACUUACAAGAGCCACCAGCCAUGGUAUCGAAAUUAGCUCUUGGAUGAAUGAAGGCUAUAGAUCUAUAUUAGGGAUUUUAGAGAUCAAAGGUAGAGAUGUGGCCACCCUCCCAUAAGCCACCACUCAAUUGUAUAAGAGUGGCUUGGUUUCCCAAGUCCUCUCUCUCUCCUCUUUCGAUGAAGGGCAAAGCCAUGCCAAAUUUUGACCUUAAAUCUUAAUCUUGAUUUUAAAUCUCAUUGAACUUUGUAGUUGUCUGUGCAUAGAUCUUGAGUAGUAAAUGAUGGUUAUUGGGUUUUAAAACACACUUCAUUGUGGUAGAUAGCUCCCUCGGCCUUCCAAAUAUUUCAAGGGUUUCAAGAGCCUCGGAUUUUCCUCAAUCAAUCAUUUAAUUUUUUGAAUUUCAAUGUGAAUUUUUUUAUGGUUAUAGCUUUUGGUGUUAGCUUUUUUAAAAGAUAAAAUUCGCUCAAUUUGAAAUAAGGGCGAAAUUUUGGUGAAAUUUUGAGUGCACAAGGAUUGAUUGCCUUAACAGUUUAGAUCACCCACCGUUGAAAUGGCAUUUAUCAAUGCUUCUAAAUUAGAUUAUUGUAAAAUUUUGGAAGUAAGUCCAUCUUCAAGCUGAGCUUCUAUUGGCAUAAAUUUCAUUGAAUUUUAAAAAAAAAUUAAUUUAUGGUUAAUUUCAAAGUAGAUGGAGGUUUAAGAUGAAGUGAAUUUUUUGUUAAUUUCUAAGUAGAAAGAGGUUGCCUGCCAUAGUAGUCUUAGUCAUUCAACUUUGAAGGAAGAUUUUUUGUGGCUUAGAUAUUGGAUUGAAUUUAAAUUUAUUGGACCAUGAGCAUCUUCAACUUAAAUUUUUAAUAAAUUAAAAAUAAUUCAAUUUAAAGCUAAUCAUGAUUUUUGGCAAAUUUUGGAGUAGAAGAGAUUUAUUGUCCUCAAUUCUUAAGCUUUAUGAAGAUAUCUUUGCUUUUAUCUCUCUUUAGUCCUACUUUUAUUUCUAUUUUUAUAAUAAUUUGUAACUUUCAUAUUUUAACUUUUGGAUUUUAGUUUUUAAUUUUAACCUUUAAUCUUCUCACUUUUGCUUUUAACUUAAUCUUCAAGAUUUUUUAUUUUUAUUAUAGAUUAAUAGCAAUAAUUUGAUCAAUUGCUUUUACCAUCAAUUAUUUAAAGAAUAAUGAUUCAUAAAUUUUUAAUAAUUAUUCAUUUAUUUACUCUUAUUAAUUAUAAUUUUGUAAUCACAUAAAAUUUAAUAAUUAAAUAAAGAAAAUAUAAAAAAUCUUAAAUAAACCAUUAAGAUUUAAAUAGAGAUCAUGCAAAUAGCCUUAAAAGACCAUAGUAAAUUUCAUUAAAUAUUUUUAUUAAUAUUGAUAACCAUUACUUAAAAGACUUAAAAUUAAUUAAACUACAGAUAUUAAGAUUUAAAUUAACUUAGCAAUUACACAAUUGGAAGUUCUUCCAUUCCACCUCUUGAAUUUGUUGUAUGGCAUCAAUUUCAUUAAGUGGUGAAAUUUGGGCUCACAAAAAGGAUUUAUGACUCUUUUAUGAUUUGAAUUCAUUCCUAAAAGUGUUUAUAGCUAUAUUUUGAAAAAAUGAUUAAAAAAAAGUAGCAUAGACCAAGUACUUAUCUUUACAACAAAGAUCACGGUCAACCACCAUUGUGAGCUAAAAUAAAACUUCCACUAAUUGGAAGUUUAUUCUAACUCAUAAUAAGUGAAUUAACUAUAUGAAUUUAACAUAAAGCUAUUAUUUAAAUUCUAAUCUACUUAUUACUUGUCCUUCUUAAAACACCAAGUUAUUAAUCAAAACUUCUAACAUUACUCACAUUCACAAUGAUAAUUCACUCCUAAAUUUUAUGCAAAACAGUUCCUUCUUCUACUUCUAAUUAGAUAAUUUGAUUUAAUUUUUUAUUUAAUUUAAUUUCAUUAUUAUUAUCAUUAUUAUAUUAGGUCGUUUUUAUUACUUUUUAUUAUUUUAUUAUUUUAUCUUUUUUUUAAAAAGAUGUAAAUUUAAGGUUGGAUUAAAAAUCAAAAUUUAAAAAUUAAAAGUAAAGUUUUAAAAGUAAAAUUAAAAUAAAAAGAAAAAAUAAAGUAAAGAUUAAAAAUUAAAAAAUAAAAGUAAAAGAGAGAAGAUUAAAAGUUAAAAAUUAAAGCCAAAAGUGAAUGUAGAAGUUACAAGUUACUGAAAAAAAUAACAUAAAAUAAAAUAAAAGAGAAAAUAAAUAAAGAGAGGUAUAAGCAGAAGUACCUUGACAACGUCCAAGGUUUGAGGGAAGCACCGCCUUUACUCCAAAAUUUUCCAAAAAUCCAAAUUAACUUCAAAUCUAAUGAUUUUUGUUGUGUUGAAAAUUUAACUUCAAAAUUCUCCUGCUCCAAAAUAUUCGUGGCAAUCUAAUACCUGAGCUGCGAGAAAUGCUUCUUCAAAGUUGGGUCAUUGGGCUUGCCACUGCAGCUGACCCCCCUUCACUCAAAACUUCAUUUAAAAUUCACAAUUACUUCAAAUUUAAUGAAACUUAUGCCAAUAUAAGCUUAGCUUAAAUUUUCUUGUACUCCUAAAUUUUUAAAAUGAUGCCAUUAAUUGGCACUAAGGAAUGCCUUUUCAAAGUUGAGUUAUUGAAACCACCAAGGUAACCGCCCCCUUGUACUAAAAAAUUCACCAAAAUUUCGAUUCAACUUUAAAUUGAGAAGGUCUUAGCUCGUUGGAAAGAUAAAAACAUGGGCUAUGUUAUGAAAAAAAUUUUACUUACAAAUCAUAAAAAACCAUAGAUUGAUUGAGGAAAAUCUGAGGCCCCUCAAACCCUUUUGACUAUGGAAUUGGUUAGUAACCACUAGUUGCAAAGGGGCGCCUUUUAAACCACAACAAGCACCACCCAUGACACAAAAUCAAUGCUCAUAUGUUCCUAAAGUUCACAAUAAGAUCUAAGAUUAAGAAAGAACAAAAAAUUAAGAUUAGGGUUAAGGUUGAGACCACACUUUGGUAUGGCUUCGCCCUCAUCAAAAAGAAAAGAGAGAGAGAGGCUUGGGAAACCAAACCACCCUUAUACAAUUGAGUGAUGGCUUGUGGAAGGGCGGCCACAUGUCCACCCUUGACCUCUAAGAUUCCUAAUGUAGAUCUACAGCCUUCCUUGAGCGAAUUUCGUGACUAAGGCUGAUGGCUCUUGUAAGUAGGAUUUUUUUUUUUUUUUUGAUAAAUUUAACUUAAUCAUUGUGUUUAAAACACCUUUUUAUGCUAAGAUUGACUACUCACAUGCAUCAAUCUAUGUUCUUUUGGAACUUUUAUGAAGGUUUUUUUUACUUACAUGGAUUUAGGCAAUAUCUAUAAAAUUCUUCAAAAAAUGAGAAUUUCAUUUCUCUACUUGUACUUUGAAGAAAAUAGUGCUGAUCUUGUUUUCUUCACUCCACAUGGUGCAUUUGAUGCCUCCAUUGCAUUUGAAGGCUUCUAUAAAUUUGAAGAAUCACUUUGCUACUUGGAUUUCUUGAAUUUGGAAAAAAUCUUCAAAUCCAUCAUAAUUAAACCUCAUCAGAUUGUUUUUCUCUUUUUUUUUUUUUUUUUGACACCAAGACUACUUCUUUUUAAUUUCUCUACUAUUAGCUUAUUAGAAAAUUAUAGUCUUUAUAGUUUCUUCUUACUAAAUUCUAUCUUAGAUUGCAUGUCCGCUACUAACAAUCUAUUUUCUAUUUUUUCCUAAAAUUCUAAUAUUAAUUCAUAAAUUUUUUAUUUUAAGAUCAAUAAAUAUAUUUUUUAUACUAAAUAUCAAAGUAAGUCAAUUCAAUGGCUCACAACCAUAUAUAUUUUUGAAUUCUAAAACCUCAUUUAUGACAUGGAUUAGAAUGAUAAAGCCUUUAUUAAUCAAUUUUUAUAUGUAUUGAAGAAUAUUAUCAAAGAUUUAUUAUUGAUAAUAUCAAAAAUAGAAUCUUUAAAAUAAUUUAUUACUUAAGCCAUUGUAUGCAAUAAUCACUUAUUUGAAAGGCUUCAAAACCAAAGACUUGAUUGAAGAAGAAUAAUAUAAGUAAUAAUAGUAGCUUUUAAGUUUUUAAAAACUUAUUUAUUUAUAUUGGAACCAAUAUAAUUUGAUAUAAUAUUUUUAAAAUUCUUUAUUGAAUAGGAAAAGAAUUGAUAUUAUUAAAAAUAUUUUUUCUUAUAUUAUGAAAAAGCUACAUACAUUGUUCAACAUUGUCCAAAGAAGCAAUGCAAUUACAAAAUGAAGAGAAUAAUUGCCAAAGAAGAGAAUAUGUUAGAAAACAAAUUUCUCUAGCUAUAAUAAAGACCAUGUGGCUAGAAUCAUAUGAAACACCUAAUAAAGGUCUUAUUCUCUCAUCAAACUCUUCAUCUUGUUUUACAAUAGAUGUGUAUUUAGGAUCUAAAAAUCACAAAGUCUUUGCAUUAGUAGAUUUAAGAAACCUUAGCGCAUUUUAUAAAUAAAGAUUUUAUCAAAAAAUAAAAAAUAAUUUUAUUCAAAAAAACUAAUUCUUACAUAUAGAAGACAUAGAUGGUCAUUUGGUAUCUUUUGGAGAUAUAAUCCAUGAGAUUGUUCCUUUAGAUGUAGCAAUUAAAGAUCAUAAUAGUAUAAUAAUAUUUAAUAUCAUAAAAUCUCUCUUUAAUUUGAUUAUUUUAGGAUUAUCAUAAUUAAAAAAUAUAACUUUCAAAUAGAUUAGAUUUCUUAUAAUCUUAAUUUUUUGAUAAUUUAAUCCAAAAUUCCGUAAGUUAUGUAAAAAUACAUAAGUCUAAUAUAUCCAAAUUUAUAUUAAUAGGUGUAAAAGCUUUUAUGCAUGUCAUUAAAGAAAGAUCAUAUAUAUAUAUAUAUAUAUAUAUAUACCAUGCCUAUUUUUAAUAGUAGAAAGAUGUUAAGUGAUAUUUUCAACUAAUAUUAAGAUUUAAAGGAGAUUUUUUUUUUAAAAAAUAUAAAUAUUCUUUCAGAGCAUCAAUCUAUAAUUAUUCAAUUAAUUUGCAAAGAGCUCAACCACCAUUUGUACCAAUCUAAAGCUUAUUGAAAAAUAAGUUAGUUGCAUUAAAGAAGUAUAUUAACAAGAACUUAGCUAAAAACUUCAUAUGCCAUUUGAAAUCUCGAAUAGGAACUCUUAUCUCAUUUGUGAAGAAAAAAGAUGGAUCUUUAUAAAUGUGUAUAGACUAUUGAGGACUUAAUAAGAUCACCAUCAAGAAUAGGUAUUCCUUACUUUAAAUUUCAUGAAUUUUUGACCAAUUCAAUCAAACAAAGAUUUACACAAAAAUAAAUUUAUGAAAAAUAAACAACCUAAUUCAUAGCAAAGUAAGAGAUGAAUAGAAGACUACUUUUUAAACUAGGUAUGAACAUUUUGAAUAUAAUGUCAUGACUUUUGGAUUCACAAAUAUAUUAUUUUAUUUUAUUUUAUUUUAAAAUAAAAAUUAUCUUAAGUAAGUUACUAAUAGUCAAAAGAUAGUAAAAUAAUAAAAGUAAUUGAUUAAUGUAGUAGUGAGGAUUUAAUGUAGUGUCUAAGUUAAGAAGAAUCUACAGUUAAGUUAGAUGGAUAAAGAUGAUUAUAGAUGAAGUUCAACUACAAUAGAUAUAAACUCCUUUUAUAAGUAAAGUGUGUUGGAAGAGAGAGGUAUUUUAUUCUAUACUUUCUUUCUUUGUAACCAUUUUAAUUUCUACUUAUUUGUAUCUUACUUAUUGUAUUUUUUCAAUACUUUUUAAUAUAUCAUAAAUGAUAUUUUUUGUGAGUUUAUUAAUGAUUUUAUUGUGUAUUAUUUAGAUAAUAUUUUAAUCUAUUCUAAGAAAAUAAAAGAACAUGAACUUCAUAUUUAAGAAGUCUUCAAUUCAAGUCAAUCUCAAAACAAAUUAAAAUUUGUUUAAUGGCAAAGAUAUGAUAUUUAUGAAUGCACAUGGGAGCCAACAAAGAAUCUUGCAAAUGCAACAAAGAAAGUUGAAGCUUUUCUUCGAUGACAUCCAUCAAAAAUUAGUGAAAAAUGAAUAAAAAAGAGAUGAGAAAUUAGAAAUAAAGUAGUAAAUAUAUUUAAUAAGAAAUUAGAAUGAUUAUUGCCAAAAGGCUAAAAAAACUAGAAACUCUUGAAACUAGAUUAGAAGCAAGAAAAAAAUUGAAAAGUUGGAAGAAUGCUUCACUUUUGCUUUUGUAUAUAUAUUAUCUACUUAAAAGCUAUAUGGUAAUAUUCUAUAGGACCUCUAAAAUAUAUCCAAUUUAAAAGACAUAUGUCUUAACUUCUAAGAUAAAUUUCCUAUCUAAGUAUCAUAUUGUUAGCUUGUAUCACAAUCUACCAAUGCAUAGAACACAUGGCUAAUUUGUUGGCUAAGUUUUUAACCUAUCAAUCAUCUACAAAUAUAUAUAUAGAAAUAAAAUCAUGUAUAUAAAGCUUCUAAGAAGUUUUUCUAUAAGAUAUUAUCAAAUUAAUCUUCUUUUAUCUACUUCCAUCUAUUCAUAUUAUUUGUGUAACUAUAUAUAUAUUUGUAAAAUAUAUGCAUGUAUUUAUAUUUUAUAGACAUUCAAUAAGAAUAUUCUAAUUUUUAAAGAAUAUUCUAUUAAGUUCUAAGAGAUUCUUAAAAUAUUUUUAAAAAAUCCUAAAAGAUACUCAAAAUAUGUUGAAUGCAUUUAAGCACUUAGCCUAUAAUGCAAAAAAUUAUAAAGUACUUUCUUCUACACUAGGAUUGUUUAGAUUUUUUUAUUUUUAUUUUUUAUUUUUUUUCUUUUAAGAUGGCUAGAGUUGAAGAUAUUAAUAUGGUUGAGUCUUCAAGUCUAAGUAAGAUGUUAUUAUAAACACAUUGAAUGUUUUAUCUAAUAAAACUGCUGAAAUUGAAAGAUUUUUUGCAAGAUUUUAUAUUGAUGCAAGUUCUAGAGCAACUUAGCUUAUAAUGCAACUAUUUUUUUAACUUUUAUAUCCAAGGAGGCAAUGGAACUUGUACCUCAAUAAAGAAAUUCAUCUAUUAAACAAUAUAAUAAGUCUUGGAUUAAUCUUCCAAAAAUAUUGGAUGAUAUAUAUUCCAAGUUUUGAGAGUUUUUUAACAAAAUUUGAUUGAUUAUUUUUCUACAAUAUGAAUGCUAUCGAAUAGAGGAGUCAUAAGUUAAUUUAGUUAGAUUUUUUUUUCUAUGACAAGCAUUAUCUUGGUUUGCUCUUUUAUUUGAGAAGAGAUAUACAAUCUUGAGAAAUUUUGAAGCUUUCUUAAAAGCAUUAGUGGAGACAUAUGAAGAAUAUGAUAAGGCUUGAUAAGCGACAAUAAUGAUUUUUUUAUUACAUCAACGGUCAUAUUUUGCAUUAAUUUAUGUAUUUGAUUUUGGAUAAUUGGCUUAUGACAUCAAUUAAGAUAAAUAAGCUAUUUUAAGUUAAUUCUAUUGAAGUCUAAGAAAUAAUGUAAAAGACUUAUUAUUAUCAUUAUUUGAUUUUUAAACACUCAAUAAGGUUAUCAACUAAGUUGUGAAGUACAAUAAUCAAUUAUUUUAAUGCUAUUAUGAUCAGUGCUUAUUAACUUUGAUAAAACAACAAUUAAGAAUUUAUACUCUAUGGCUUCAACAAAUAUAUUAUUUCUAUACUCUAAAAUUAUGGAUAUGCAAAUUAAUCUAAUAUAAUAUCACGGAUACACACAUAUAAACUAAUAAUUAUCUAUAUGAUUAAGUAAAAGUAAGUAAAAUUAGGUUAAUUCCAUAAUAUCUUCUAUAGAUGCUUUAUAGACAUUACUUUGACUUUAUAGGUAUCUAUUAUUGACUUUUUAGAUUAAAAACAUAGCCAAUAAAUUGGCUAUAUGCCACAUAUAUUUGUAGCUUAAAGAACAAGCUAACUAUGUGAUUCACACGUAGAAAACUUGUCUUAUAAGCUAAGGCAUCUGUCCUGCAAGUCAACACAUAUUAGAGGUCCUAUUGAACAUCGCCAUAUAUCUCUUAGAUAGUAUAUAUAGAGGAAAGAGUGAAGUCUUCUUCACUCUUAUUAAUUCUUUUCUUGCUUCCAAUCUAGCUUUAAGAAUCUCUAAUUUUCUUAUCUUUUGGUAAUAGCCAUUCUAAUUUUCUUUUAAUAUAUAUAUUGCUUUAUUGUUAUUUUUUCACUUUUCUUUUAACACAAAUAUUUCAAAUUUAUGCAUCUUCUUCUAGUUCAUGUCCUUAAUAGAUUAAUAAGAAUAAACUUACAAUAUAAGAGCUUUAUCUUUUCUUGAUUAAGAGUGGAUUACUCCUUUUUCUUGAUAACACAUAAAAGUAUUAGAAGUUGUACAUUACCCUCUUCUAAACUUAUAUUGUACUUAGUAUCUUCUUUGUUCUCAAGUUCCCUCUUCUACUUGUCUUAAGUGAUAUUAGAUAUUUAUUUUUUAAAUAUUAUUAUAGCAAAGCUUGUUAAAAUGAAGAGUGCAAUAAUACAAAUACUAGAGAAAUUAAAAAAAUUAAUGCUUGCAAUGUAUUAACUCAAUUUACCACCAUAAAGAGCAACAAGAAUGGUAGGAAGUGAAGAUAUAGAUAUGAUUGGAGCUGUUUUAAUAUCUGUAUCCAAUCAUGUCCUUUUUCUUAGGUUAGAGUAUCCUUCCGAUAUUAGAGAAUCAAGAAUUGCCCUACUUGAGAAUUUUGAUGGCACAAGAUUCAAGUUUUCAGGAUUUAUCAAUCAAGUACAACUUGUGAUUGAACUUCAAUCCCAAAGCUAUCCAAUUUUAAGAUCAUAAGUUAGAUUCAUUAGUAUACUACUUUCAGAUUUAGCAUUAUCAUAUUGUUCAUCUUUUUUUAAAUGACAAGAUCCAAUAUUGGAUAAUUUGGAGGCUUUUUUAGUAGAGUUUUGAUUGAUAUAUAAAAAAUAUGAUACAAUUCGUGUUGCAACCAAUAAGAUCCAUAUUUUGCAAUAAAGCAAUUGAUCCAUAACAUUAUAUGCUUCACAAUUUUGACAACUUUCAACUGAUAUGAAGUGGGAUGAUGUCAUAGACAUAUAUAUUUACCUCAAUAGUUAUUUAUAUGAUUAGAUAGAAGUAGGUAAAUGUAGAUUAAUUUCAUAAAGUCUUCUUAAAAAACUUUUUAGAAGCUUCAUAGAUGCAAUUUUGAUUUUAGAUGUAUUUGUAGGUUAGAAACUUGACCAACAAGCUAACCAUGUAUUGGUAGCUUGUGGAAUAAAUUAACUAUAUGUAAUAGCUUAUGGAAUAAGUUAACCAUGUGGCGCAUACAUAAAUAACUUGUCUUGUAAGUUAAGACAUGUGGCUAGCAAAGUCAAUAUGUUUUGGAGGUCCUAUAGGACAUCGCCACGUAACUCUUAGUUAAGAGUAUAUAUGGAGGCAAGAGUGAAUCCUUCUUCACUCUUCUCAAUGCUGUUCUAUUCUUUAGUCUUUUUUCAAGUCUUUUUAGUCUCUUUGUUUUUGAGAAUAGCCAUUCUAAUUAAUAUUAUAUCAGCUUUUGAGUAACUUUCUAGUUCUCUUCAAUAACUCAAGAGUAUAUCAAGGAUUCUCUUUCUUUGAGAUUCAUGUCCCUGAUAAUUUGACAAGAGUACUAACAUACUAUUUUUUUUAUCUUAUUUUAGAAAUAAAUAGAUUAUUUCACUUCUAUUGUUGUAUUUUGAAGGUUGAGGACUAUCCAUCUUUUAAAAAAAAAAAAAUCUUAUUUUUUGAUAUUGAUCUUUCUUUAGAGAGAGUGAAUUAUCCCUCUUUGUAGAAGUUUUUAUUAGAGAUUAUAGAUUAUCCUCCUCUAAUUUAACUUUUUGGAUUUAUUUGAGUUGCCUAUGAAAGAAAAGAUUAUAGAUGCUAUACCUAGCUGAAGUGAAUAUAGAUUUACAACUAUUGUAGAUCUUCAUGAAUUUAUUAAUACUCUUAGAGUACAACUCUCAUGUAUUUCUAAUAUGAAUCAUGGAGGUAUUAUGCCUACACCUAUAAAAGAAGUUCAAAGUCUACAACAAAGAGUUGUACAAUUGAAGGAAGCAAAUUAAUCGAUGUUAUAAUCAAAUCUAGGAAGUUUUGCUUCUACAAGUUUGAUAGGGAGAAGGAUUAGUAUACAUGAGAAGUUUGAUGGAACAAGAUCAAAAUUUUGAGGAUUUUUGCAACAAGUCAAGCUUUAUCUAAGGUUGUACCUUUUUCAAUAUCUUCAUGGAUUUACUCAAGUUGGAUUCAUAGACGCAUUUCUAUUAGAAAGUGCUCUCUCUUGAUUUACUUAUUUAAUGGAAAAAGAUUUGCAACUCCUUUAUGAUUUGAAUUCAUUCCUAGAAGUGGUAUACGAUGUCGUAAUGUAUGAAGUCUUGCUUGAGAAUGCUCUGGGCACUUAGCUGUAAAAGAAAGAAUAGAAAUUACGAUAACAAAAUCCUAAUUCUAAUAGAAUACUAACAAUACUCUAAUUAGACUAUAAUAAUGGUAAACAAACGUAAUUAAAUUCAAAACAAUUCAAAGAAAUUUCAAACAAACAAUAAAAUUCUUAAAGAAAUAUUAGAAUGAACACAAAUAUUAGUCAAAUAUAUGUCAAUUCAACCUUAAUUUAAUUCUGAUUAAAACCCUAUUGAAUUUUACUCAAACUUUAGAUCAAACCUAAUUAAAUCUUAAAUCCUAAUAAAUCCUAAACCCUAAGUCAAAUCCUAAACAAAUCUUAAAUUAAACCCUAAAUCAAAUCCUAUUUCAAACCUUAAAUCCUAAACCAAACUCUAAACCAAAUCCUAAACUAAACCCUAAACUAAAUCCUAAACCAAACCUUCAACCCUAAUCCAAACUCUAAUCCAAUCCUAAAUCCUAAUCCAAAUCCUAAACCCUAAACCAAACCUUAAAUCAUACCCUUAUCCAAACCCUAAAUCAAACCCUAACUAAACCCUAAACCCUAAUCCUAAUCCUAAUCCAAAAUCUAAAUCAAACCCUAACCAAACUCUAAAUCCUAAUCCAAACCCUAAAUCAAAUCCUAACCAAACCCUAAUCCAAAUCCUAAACUCUAAAUCAAACCCUAAUCCAAAUUCUAUUAAUUCCUAUGACAGAUUUAAACCUCAAUAUCUAAUGAAUAAACUGUUGAUCUCAAUUCAAAGAUUGCAUACUUCUUAAAAAUCAAGUUUAAAACAAGUACAUAAAAAUUUGAAAAGGAUCGGAGUUACCAAAUUGACGAAAACCUCAAAAAUGUGUUUGGGUAUUAGCCAGCCUCCUUCUCCAAUCUUAAUGCCAACCUUCCAGAGCCAAUUUCUCUUCUUUGCACCGUUCGAUUAGUUUCAAAUUUCUCAUGGACAUAGAAAAACAAGUCUAAUACCCUCUCACAUAAGUUUUACUCCAAUCCAACUAGUAGAUUGCAUGAAAUCUUUAAAAUCCUCACUGGAUCUAAAAUUCUACUUUCUGAGACCUUGACCCGCUUAAAUGUCAAUAUCUCUUACUUCAACCGUUAGAUCGAGCUCAAAUUCACAACAUGUAUUAAACACAACUAUUAUCAUGAAUGCAAAAAAAAUCACUCGUAGAUCUGCAACCAAACUCUCGAAAUCACUCAAAACAUAAAUCCUAUUUUAUUUCAUAAAACCCAAGUCAUCCAAAACAAACCUCUUUUUUGCAAAGCUCUUACAAAGUCAUAUCAACUUCAAAUCACCCAAAAUCAAUGCCCAUAAAAAUCCUAUCCAAUCUUCUAUCAAAUCUCACUCUCCGAUCUGCCAAAGAGUCUUUUAGUCGUCGUCGAGAUGCGGUUUUGUGCCUCAGGGUCUGAUUUCGACCCUGGUUCAUAACCGGCCCUCUCCGGGUAUCAACUUUCAUCUUCUUGAGGCAAUUUUUACUAAUUUGCACUUCUAACUCCUCCCUACAUAUGUCUAUAUCUUUUAUUUUUCUAAUCAACCUUGUUUUGUCUUAUUUAUGGCCUUACAAAGUAAAUAGAAGCAUAAUUUGUAAAAAGGCAGCAUUAGCACCUUUAAUUUUUCUACAUUUUUACUAAUAUCUAUUUUUCCAAGAUAGUUUGCUAUAAUAUUUUUGAAGUGAGAUCCUCAAAAUAUGAUAUAUUUCUUCACCCUUUCACCUACUAGUCAUAUUACAUCACGACAAUGGUGACAUUCAAAGAAAAAAAUCGAGAACAAGCAGUAGAGACCAAAUUCUUAUCUUUACAAUAAGGAUCACAAUCAACCACCACAUAUGCUGCUAAAUUCCAAAACCUUGCUUGCGAUAAGGACUAAAAUUAUAAAGCAGUUAGCAAUCAAUUUUAAUAUAGAUUAUAGGAUAGUGUUAAAGAUUUAUUAUUAAUAAUAUCAAAAAUAGAAUCUUUGAAAGAAUUUAUUGCUCAAGCCAUUGCAUGUGACAAUCGAUUAUUUGAAAGGUGUCAAGAACAAAGACUUUGCUAGAGAAGAAAAAGUCAAGUAAUGGCAACAUCUUUUAAGUUUUCUGAAACGUAUUCAUCAAAGUUGGAAUUAAUACAAAUUGAUACAAUAUGUUUUGAAACUCUCAUAGAGCAAGAAAAGAUUUGAUGUCACCAAAAAGAUUUAUGUUUAUAUUGUGGAGAAGCUAAGUACACUAUUCAAUAUUUUCCAAAGAAACAACACAAUUACAAAAUAAAGAACACAAUUACCAAAGAAGAUAAUGUGUCAAAAAAUAAAUUUCUCCAGCUACAACAGGGAUGGUGUGAUUAGAAUCAUGUACAACAUCUAGCAAAGGUCUUAUUCUCUCCUCAAAUCCGUCACCUUGUUUUAUAAUAGAUGUAUAUUUAGGACCUAAAAAUCACAAAUUCCUUGCCUUAUUAGAUUCAAGAGCCUUAGCCUAUUUUAUAGAUGAAGAUUUUGUCAAAAAUCAAAAAAUACCUUUAAUAAAAAAAACUAAAUCCAUACAUGUAGAAGUCAUAGAUGGUUGUUCGUUGUCUUCUAGAAAUGUUAUUCAUAAGAUUCUUCCUUUAGAUGUAACAAUUAAAGAUCAUAAAAGUAUAGUAGUAUUUAAUGUAAUAAGAUCUCCUUCCAAUCUAGUUAUUUUAGAAUUAUCACCGCUAAAAAAAUAUAACUAUUAAAUAGAUUGGAUUUCUCGUAACCUUAAUUUUUUUGAUAGUAUAAUCCAAGAUCAAGUUAGUAAAGUAGAAGUACAAAAGUCUAGUACUUCUAAACUUUUAUUACUAAGUACAAGAGCUUUCUUCCAUAUUGCAAAUGAAAGAUCAUCUUUUGUUAUAUAUGCUAUGCCUAUUUCUAAUGGUGAAAAAAUGUCAAGUGGUAUUCUUAGCCAAUAUAAAGAAUUUCAAGACUUUUUUGAAAAGAAAAAUAUAGAUAUUCUUCCAAAGCAUUAACUUUAUGAUUAUUUAAUUGAUUUGCAAGAAAGAACUCAACUACUAUUUGGACCAAUCUAUAGCUUAUCGCAAAAUGAGUUAGUUGUAUUAAAAGAGUAUAUUGAUGAGAAUUUGGAAAAGAACUUCAUAUGCCAUUCUAAUUCUCCAGUCGGAGCUCCUAUCUUAUUUGUAAAGAAAAAAGAUAAAUCUCUAUAGAUGUAUGUGGAUUAUCAAGGACUCAAUAAGAUCACCAUCAAAAAAAGGUAUCCUUUGCCUUUGAUUUCAAAACUUCUUGACCAACUGAAUCAAGCAAAGAUCUAUAUUAAAAUAGAUCUAUGAAGAGCAUAUAACUUAGUUCUUAUCAAAGAAAGAGAUGAAUGGAAGACUACUUUUUGAACUAAGUAUGGAUAUUUUGAAUAUAAUGUCAUGCCUUUUGGACUCACGAAUAUACUAACCACUUUUCAACAUCUUAUGAAUGAUAUUUUUCAUGAAUUUUUAGAUGAUUUUAUUAUUUUCUAUUUAGAUACCAUUCUAAUUUAUUCUAAGAAUACAAAAGAAGUUUAUGUUUGUUGUGUGCUACAAAAACUUAGAGAUACAAGAUUAUAUGCCAAGUUAGAAAAGUGUAUAUUCUACACUACUUAAGUUGACUUUUUAGUACAUCAUUUCCAAUGAAGGUCUUAUGAUGGAUCUUAAGAAGGUCCAAACUAUCAUAGAUUAGAAGAUUCUAAGAAUAGUAUAAGAUAUACAAUGCUUUUUAGGCUUUGCUAAUUACUACCGAAUGUUCAUCAAGAACUUUUCUCAAGUUGCAGCUCCACUUAUAUGUUUGACUUGUAAAAACAAACUUGAGUGGAAUAAAGAAGUAGAAGCAUCAUUUGAUGCUUUAAAGAAAAAAUUUAUAUUUACACCAAUCUUGUAUCAUGUCAACUUUUCGAGGUAUUUUUUAUAGAAAUAGAUGUGCCAAAUUUUGCUAUGGGUGCUAUGUUGUUACAAAUGAAAACAGAUGAUAAAGUCCAUCUAGUAGCUUUUCAUUCCAAAAAAUUUUCAAUAGUCAAAAUUAUUUAUGAGAUCCAAGACAAAGAGCUCUUUGCAAUUGUAGAUUCAUUUUAAGAAUGGCAUCAUUAUCUAGAAGGUGCUUCAAGUCUAAUUAACGUAUAUAUGGAUCAUAAGCACUUUGAGUAUUUCAUUUCAGUACGUGUUUUGAAUUGUCGUCAAGUCCAUUGAAGCAUGUCUUUAUCUAGAUUCAAUUUCAAGAUCACUUAUUGAUCCAAAAAACAACAAAGUCUAUCAGAUGCCAUUUUAGACAUUCUUAUCUUACACAAAAAGAAAGAGAUGCAUCUUUUGAUCAACAAAGAACAAUUCUCUUAAAGUCCAAGCAUUUUCAUCUUUGAGCAAUAAAAUCAAUAUUGAUUGUUGAUUCAAUCUUUAUCAAGCAAAUUCAAUUAAUUAUGUCCUUUGAUCCUCUUAUUCAUUAUAUCAAGAAUCUUUUUUCUAAUUCUUAUGAUAUUUCAAAGUUCAAAUUCAAGAACAAUCUUCUUUAUUUCAAAAGAUGCCUAUAUGUUCCAAAAAAAAAAGUACGUUUAUGUGUUCUUCAAGCACAUCAUGACUUUUCAACAGCAAGACAUUUUAGAUACAAUAAGACUUUAGAGCUUAUAUCUAGAGAUUUUUAGUGGCUACAAAUGUGGAAGACAAUAAAAGACAUUAUACAAUCAUGUGAUACUUAUUUAAGAUCCAAAAUUCCUCGCCAUAGAUCUUAUGGACUGCUUCAACAAUUACCUAUUCCAAAACAAUCAUGGUCUUGUGUUUCUAUAGAUUUUAUCACGGAUCUUUCAGUCUUAAGUUCACAUGAUUUCAUAUUUGUAAUUGUAAUACUUUUGACUUUUUAAAUGUUGAUAAUCCUAUGGUAGAAGAUUUAGCAAAUCAUUUGUCAAAGCUAUAUGCAACAAUAAAGAUACAAUUAAAAGAAGCUCAAAGACACUAAAAGACCAACGCAGAUGCUUAUUGCAAGGAGCAAUCAUAAUUCAACAUAGGUAAUAAGGUAUAGUUAUUUUGUCACAAUAUCAAGAAAACUCAUCUUUGUAAUAAGUUAGACUAUCGUAGGCUAAGACCUUUUUCUAUUUGUGAAUAAAUCAAUCAUGUUGCUUAUCGAUUACAUCUACUAAAGUCUAUGAAGAUCCAUCAUAUAUUUUCUUAUCCCUCUUCGAGCCAUAUAAGAUAGUGGAUAUUUUGGAAAGAAGACAAAUACUACCUCCCCCUAUAGAAGUAGAUAAUAAUCAAGAAUUUGAAGUAGAAGAAGCUUUAGAUUCAAGGCUGCAUCAAAAUAGAUUGAAAUAUCUUGUUCAUUAGUGUGGAUUUGAUCUUAGCAAAUACACAUGGGAGCUAGCAAAGAAUCUUGCAAAUAAAACAUAGAAGAUUGAGGCCUUUCACUGACGACAUCCAUCAAAAUUAAGAUAAAGAAUUGCAAAGAUCUAUGAAAGAUAAUGACCGCUCUUUGUGGAAUUCAUCUCUAGAAGAGGGGAUAAUAUCACGAACAUAUACAUUUACCUCAAUAAUUACUUAUAUAAUUAAGUAGAAAUAGGUAAAUAUAGAUUAACUUCAUAAAGUCUUUAAGAAAAGCUUCUUAGAAGCUUUAUAGAUGCGAUUUUGACUUUAGAUGUGUUUGGAGGUUAGAAACUUGGCCAACAAGCUAAUCAUGUAUUGAUAGCUUGUAGAACAAGUUAACUCUAUGUAAUAGUUUGUGGAACAAAUUAACUUCAUGUAAUAGCUUGUAGAACAAGCUAACCAUGUGGCACAUACAUAGAUAACUUGCCUUGUAAGUUAAGACAUGUAGCUAGCAAAGUCAACAUGUUUGGAGGUCCUAUUGGACAUCGCCACAUAGCUUCUAGUUAAGAGUAUAUAUGGAGGCAAGUGUAAAGCCUUGUCAAUGCCAUUUUAGUCCUUAGUCUGGUUUUAAGACUUUUUAGUCUUCUUAGUUUUUACAAUAGCCAUUCUAAUUAAUAUUAUAUUACCUUUUGAGUGAUUUUCUAGUUCUUUUCAAUGAUACAAGAGUCUAUUGAAGAUUCUCUUUUUUUAAGAUUCAUAUCCUUAACAAAUGAUACUGCACUUAUUAGCCAAUUUUUCUAUAAAUUAUAAUAUGAGGUAAAGAAAUUGAUGCUCAACUUACUUACUCUUCAAACAUUGAGUCAAGCAAUUGACUUUGUUGUGAAGUGUGAUAAUCAACUUUUUGAAUUUCAAUCUGAGAGUCGGAUAAGCAAACCUCAACUUUAUUAUAAUUCAAUGGCAACACUAAUGCCUCUUCAAUACAUACAUUCAAAAGUAGAGGAUAUGCAAAUUGAUGUAGUACGUUUCAAACCUCUUAUUGAGCAAAAAAAGACUCAUCACCAUCAGGAAGGAUUAUACUUAUAUUAAGGAGAAUCUAAGCUCACUAUUCAACAUUAUCUAAAGAUAUGAUACAAUUAUAAAAUGAGGAAUACAAAUAUCAAAAAAUAUAAUAUAUCAAAAAAUAAGUUUAUCCACCUACAAUAGAGAGUGUGCAACUGGAAUCUUGUGCAAUACCUAAUGAAGGUCCUAUUCUCUCUUUAGAACCCUCUUAUUAUUUUAUAUUAAAUAUUAUUUUAGGACCUAUAUAUUACAAAGCCUCUGCCUUGUUAGAUUCAAAAGCCUCAUCAUGUUUCUUAAAUGAAGAAUUUGCUAAAAGACUUAACAUAUCUUUAGUAAAAAAACCUAAAGAUGUUCACAUAAAUAUCAUAGAUGGUUGCCUAUUAUCUUCUAGAGAUAUUACUCACAAAACUUUUCAUAUAGAAAUAAUAAUCAAUGAUUAUAAUAGCUUUGUGGUAUUUAAUAUCAUUAUAUCUCCCUCUAAUCCAAUCAUUUUAGAUUUAUUGUGAUUAGAAAAAUACAACCUUUGAGUAGAUUGGAUUUCUCGUAAUCUCAAUUUUUUUAAAAGUAUUAAUAAGAGUAUAGUUAAUCAUGUAAAAAAUCACAAGUCUAGUAUAAUUAAAUCUAUAUUUGUAGAUGCAAGAGCUUUCUUGCAUGCUGCAAAAAAAAAGAUUAUCUUGUGUCAUUUAUGCCACACCUAUUUCUAAUAGUGCAAAGACUUCAAGUGGCAUUCCAUGCCAAUAUCAAGAAUUUCAAGAUGUAUUUGAGAAAAAAAAACGUAGAUACUUUUGCAGAACAUCAUUCCUAUGAUUGCUCAAUUGACCUUCAAAAAAGAGCUCAACUGCCAUUUGGACCAAUCUGUAAUUUAUAACAAAAUGAGUUGGCUGAAUUCUAGGAGUAUAUUGAAGAGAAUCUAGCGAAGAACUUCAUACGCCAUUCUAAAUCUCCAACAAAAGCCUUAAUUCUAUUUUUGAAGAAAAAAGAUGGAUCAUUACAGAUGUAUGUUGAUUAUUUAAGACUCAAUAAGAUCACCAUCAAGAAUAGGUGUCAUAAACAUACACAUGUAAGCCAAUAAUUACUUGAAUAAAUAGAUAGAAUUAAGUAGAAGUAGAUAAAAAUAAGUUAAUUCUAUAGUAUCUUUUACAGAAGCUUCUUAGAAGCUUCAUACAUACUGCUUUCAUUUCAUAGGUGUCUAUAAUUGAUUUUUUGGGUUAAAAAAUAAGUCAACAAAUUGGCCAUGUGCCACACAUAUUAUUAGCUUGAAGACCAAGUUAACUAUAUAACCUACACGUAAAAAAAAUUACCUUGUAAGUCAAGGCAUGUGUCCUACAAAGUCAACACAUAUUGGAGGUCCUAUAGAACAUUGCCAUGUAAUCCCUACUUAGACAAUAUAUAUAGAGAUAAGAGUGAAGCCCUCUUGUGAGCUCUCAAUUAUACUCUAAAAUUUAAAUUUUUAUUAUUUUCUUAUUUUAUGAUAAUUGAGCAUAUAAGAUUAGGAUUUAUAUAAGUGGAAUUUAGUUUUAUAUAAUUUUUAGGAUUACAACCCUUGAUGGUAUAAAUUAUAGCCUAAUUUAUUGAAUUAGGUUAAUUAGAACUAAAGUGAUAAGACUUAGAAAAUUAGAAUAGCAACUUAGUUAGUUUAAUAACUUAGAGGUUGUUAGUCAUUACUAUGAGGGUUGAUUAAAAGCCUAUGAGUGCACCUAUAAUCAUUCACAUGAUUUAGGAGUUGGAAUUUUAAUUCUCUAAAAGAUUUAGUGAAGAAAGAAAUGAUAAAUUUGAGUUUUUUUCCAAAUUUGAUAAAUUCAAGCGGCAUAGUAGUUCUUCUAAUUAAUGGGAGUCUUUUUAAUGCAAUGGUGGCAUUGUAUUUACCCCGUGGAGUGAAGAAAACAAGAUCAGCACCCUUUCCUUCAAAAUUCAAAUGAAGCAAUGAAAUUCUCAUUUUGAAGAAUUUUACAAAAAACUGCCAUGAUCCUUGUAAGUAAAAACUUCAAUAAAAAUUAUAAUUUAGCAUGGAUUGAAGCAUGUGAGUAGUCGAUCUUAGCUCAAAAAUAUGUCUUGAAAAAAAUGGUGAAGUUAGAUUUAUCAAAAAAUGCUUUCUUCACCACUUACAAGAGCCAUUAGCCCUAGUAACGAGAUUGGCUCUUAGAUGAAUGAAGGCCAUAGAUCUAGAUUAGGGAUCUUAAAAAUCAAGGGUGGAGAUAUAGCCACCCUUCUACGAGCCUCCACUCAAUUAUUUAAGAGAGGCUUGGUUUUCCAAACUCUCUCUCUCUCUUCUUUUGGAUGAAGGGCAAAGCCAUGCCAAAAUUUGGCCAAAAUCCUAAUCUUAAUUUUGUUUAGACUUAAAAACUCAUCUUGAACCUUGUGAUUGUAUGUAUAUGGAUUUUGAAUUAUGAAGGAUGGUCAUUAAGUUUUAAAAGAUGCUUCAUUGAGAUAGAUAGCUCCCUCGGCCUCCUCAAAUAUCCCAAGGGUUUCAAGGCCCUCGGAUUUUUCUCAAUCAGUUACUCAAUUUAUUUUUUUUAUGAAAGUAAAAUUUCAAAUAGUUGUAGCUUUUUUUGUUAGCUUUUCAACAAGAUAAGACUUGCUUGAUUAAGAGUAAGAAGGAAUUUUUGGUGAAUUUUUGAGUGUAAGGGAGUCGACUGCCUUUGCAGUUUGGAUCAAUCGAGUUUGGAAAGGAAUUUCUCAGUGCCUGAUAAUUGGCUUCAUUUGAAAUUUUGGGAGCAUCAAGAUUUAUAAGUUAAGCUCUGCAAGGCUCAAGUUUUGUUGGAUUUGAAGACAAUCUGAAUUUUAAUUGAAUUUCUAAGUGAAGAGGAUUAGUCGUCGAGGCAGUUUAGAUCACUCAACUUAAUAGGGAGGAAUCUUCAUCAUUGGAUCAUUAGAUUGCAACAAAUUUUUUAGGAUCAAGAGCGCCUUUAAGUUAGUCUUGCAAUAAGUUAAGAAUCAUUCAAAUCAAAGCUGAUUACAAAUUUUGGCAAAUUUUGGAGUAGAAGGAGGUCACUGCCUUCAAUCCUCACGUGUUGUCAAGGUACCUUCGCUUUCAUCUCUUAUUUUAUUUUUACUAAUACCUUCAUAAUGAAUUGUAAUCUCUAUAUUUCACCUUUUGGCUAAUAAAUUUUAAGUUUUAAGUUUUAAUCUUUAAUAUUGUCAUUUUAACUUUUAACUUUAAGUUUUAAUUUAAACUUUUAAACUUAAUUUUUAAUUUUUACUUUUUAACUUAACCCUUUAAUUUUAACUCUUAUCUUAACCCUUUAAUUUAAACUUUCAACUUAACUUUUUAAAUUUAACUUUUAACUUAACUUUUAAUUUUUAACUUUUAACUUAACUUUUAAUAUUUAACUUUAAUUUUUUUACUUAACUUUUAACUUUUAACUUUAACUUUUUAUUUAACUUUUAACUUUAAAUUUUUUACUUAACUUUUAACUUUAAUUUUUAAUUCAAACUUAAGUUUUUAUUCUUACUAUCAAUUAAUAUAACAACUUAGUCAAUUAUUUUUUUCCUAUGUUUGCAUAGUAAAUUUCAAUUAAUAUUUUAAUUUAAUAUCGAUAACCAUUGCUUAGAAGGCAUUAUUGUAUCGCAUGAUUUGCUAUUUGGGAAUACACUCGGUAUUUAGCUGUAGAGAGUUUAAUUAAAACUUUUAUAUGAAUCUUGUAUUAGCUUCCAAAACUCCUUUAUUUUGCAUAAAAUUCAAAAUAUAGCAAAAUCCCUUCAAAAUAUAUUUUUCUCGCCAAGAAUUCUUCCUGAAUUUUAGAAAUUCAUAACUCUUGAUCUAAUGGUUCAUUUUGUUUCAAAUUUAUAGGAUAGGUAGAAUUCACCUUUAAAUUUUAUCACAAAAAAAUCUAAUUUCAAAUUCACUGCCAAGCUUAUAGCAUCUAAGAAUCCCUGGUAGAUGCUCUAAACCCUAAUUUACAAGCACUUGAGCACUAUUUUCUUAAUAUUUUAAGAAUUCAAUAUUCAAAUGCCUUCAAACUUAUGUACAAAUUUUACUAACAUAUAUAUUCACAUUUUCUGAAAUUUUGAGUCAAAAUAUUUUCAAAUUACUCAAGAUAUAAUUCAAGAUACAACCACUAGUAAAUCGGGUCACUUACUACCCUUAGAUUGCAUGUGCUAACUUCAAAAUACAAUAUCUCCUUCAUUUCAAUUUGGAAUUGAGCAAGCAAUAAAGAAAAAGUAUAGCUGCAAAAUUGCUCUCUCUAGUUGCAGGUGUCGAUCCUCAAUUGCCAUCCGUACACUUGUGUUAUGUUAAAAAGGAGGAUAGUAGCUUCCAAAGCAAUACCUAAACUUUGAGCACAUAGAUCUUUUUUAUAUAAACUCCAAAUCAUAUAUGAUUUGGACCAAAACCAUAGCCAAAAAUCUGAGCUCUCUAAUUCUAGUCUUCAAAGUUUAAAUGGCUCCAAAAAGUUAACCCUAAUCUCUAAUUAAUCCUCGUGUAGCCUCUUCAAAGCCCAUUGGUCAUGUUUUUUGACCAAUAGGAAUGGAAAUUUUCAUCAUCCAUCUCCAUUCAUCUAUAUAGAUGCCUUAAACUCUCUUUUUAUUACCAAAAUUCCUCUCCAACUCUUUUUUUUAUAAGAUUUAUUCAAUGUAUGCCUUAAACAUCAAAUUGAAGUACCAAAAUAAGACUUCAAGGAUCACCAAUGUCUAAUAAAGGUGAUUCUAAAUAUUUAAAGUUACUACCAAAAAAAUCAAUCUCAAAAGCCAUUAUCAAAAGAAAAUAAAGUUAUACAAAUUUUAAUAAUAAUCCUUUUAAACAACCUCCUUUUAAAGUAGUAAUUUAACCACAUUCUACAACUAACUAAAAUCUAGUAACAUGGCUCUCACCAUGUUGUUAAGUAAAUUAUACAUUAAAUACAUAAUUUCAUUAUUUUAAUAUCGUAGCCAAAUCAUAAUACAAUAGCAUUAAUUUGAAUUGAAUUACAAAUAUGUACAUUUAAAUUAAAUUAACAAUUUCACAAUUGGGAGUCCUUCCAUUCCACCCUAUGAAUCUGUUAUGUGGCAUCAAUUUAAUGAGUGGUGAAUUUGAGGCUUACACUUCUUCACUCUUAUCAACUCCUUUCUUGCUUCUAGUCUAAUUUCAAGCGUCUCAAGUUUCCUUGUCUUUUGGCAAUAAGCUAUUCUAGUUUCUUCUAAAUAUAUGUAUUUCUUUAUUUUUAUUUUGUCACUCUUUCUUUCAUACGAAUUUCAUUGAUUUAUGCAUCACCUUUUAAUUUAUGUCCUUGAUAGAUUGAUAAGAGUACACUUACAAUAUCAAAGCUUUGUCUUGUAUUGAUUAAGAGUGUAUUAUUCCUUUCUCAUAAUAAGACAUAAGCAUAUUAGAAGUUGUGGAUUACCAUCUUCUAAACUCAUAUUAUUCUUAGUAGUUUCCUUGUCCUCAAGUCCUUUCUUCUACUUAGCUUGAGUAAUAUUAGAUAUUUUUUUUAUUGUUAUUAUGGUAGAUCUUGUUGAAAUGAAGAGUGCAAUGGCACAAAUGCAAGAGUAAUUGAGAGAAUUGAUGCUUACGAUGCAUCAACUUAGCUUACCACCACAAAGAUCAAUAAAAAUGGCAAGAAGUGAAGAUAUAGAGAUGAUUAGAGCUACUUCAACAUCUGCACCAAAUCAUGUCCCUCCACCCACAAUAGAACAUCUUUAAAGUAUUAGAAAACCAAGAAUUUCCUUGUCCGAGAAAUUUGAUGGUACAAGAUCCAAAAUUUGAGGAUUUAUCAAUUAAGUAAAACUUGUGAUUGAACUUCAACUUCAAAGCUAUCUAAUUCUAGGAUCACAAGUUAGAUUCUUUGGUGCACUUCUCUCAAAUUCAGCACUAUCAUGGUUUUCAUCUUUUCUUGAAUGACAAGAUCUAAUAUUGGAUAAUUUUGAGAUAUUUUUGAUAAAAUUUUGGCCUGUGUAGGAAAAACAUGAUGCAAUUCAUAUUGCAACCAAUAAGAUCAAUAUUUUAUAACAAAGCAAUCAAUUUAUAACAUUAUAUGCUUUCCAAUUUUGACAACUUAUAAUUGAUAUCAAGUGGGAUGAUAGUACAUUUAUUAGCCAAUUUCUCUAUGGAUUAUAAUAUGAAGUAAAAAAAUUGAUGCUCAACUUACGUUAUGCUCAAACAUUGAAUCAAGCAAUUGCCUUUGCUGUGAAGUGCGAUAAUCAACUUUUUGAAUUUUGAUCUGAGAGUCGCAUAAAUGGGCCAUAAUGUUACUACAAUUCAAUGACAAUACCAACAUCUCUUCAAUAUAUAUAUUUAGAAGUAGAGGAUAUGUAAAUUGAUGUGGUACAUUUUAAACCUCUUAUUAAGCAAGAAAAGACUCGUUGCCAUCAAGAAGGAUUUUACUUAUAUUAUGGAGAAUCUAAACACACUACUCAACAUUAUCCAAAGAAGCAACAAAACCAUAAAAUGAAGAGCACAGCUAUCAAAGAAGACAAUGUGUUAAAAAAUGAAUUUCUCCAACUAUAAUAGAGACCUUGUAGUUGAAAUCUUAUACUAUUUCUAAUGAAGAUCUUAUCUUCUCCUUAGAACCCUCUCUUUAUUUUAUAAUAGAUGUAUAUUUAGGACCUACUAAUUAUAAAGUCUCUGCCUUGAUAAAUUCAGGAGCCUCAACUUAUUUUUGAGACCUAGAAUUUGUUAAAAGUUAUAAAAUAUCAUUACUACAAAAAACUUAAUCUAUUCAUGUAGAAGUCAUAGAUGGUCAUCCAUUGUCUUCUAGAGAUGUUACUCAUGAAAUACUUCCUAUAGAUGUAGCAAUAAAUGGUCAUAGUAGAUAUAUAAACUUUAGUAUAAUUAGAUCUUUCUCUAAUCAAGUCAUUAUAGGUUUAUUGUGGUUAGAAAAAUAUAAUCCUUGCAUAGAUUGGAUUUCUCAUACUUUUGAUUUCUCUAAAAGUAUAACUAAAAGUGAAAUUAAUCGAGUUGAAAGUCAUAAGUCUAGCAUAAUAAAACCUAUUGUAGGUACGAGAGCUUUCUUGCAUGUUGCAAAAGAAGGAUUAACUUGUAUUAUUUACAUCACACCUAUUUCUAAUGAUGCAAAGACUUCAAGUGGCAUUCGAAGCCAAUAUUAAGAGUUUUAAGAUGUAUUUGAGAAGGAGAAUGAAGAUACUCUUUCAAAACAUCAUCCCUAUAGCUACUCAAUUGAUCUUCAAGAAGGAGCACAACUGCCAUUUGGACCAAUUUGUAGUUUAUCACAAAAUAAAUUGGCUGAACUCAAAGAAUACAUUGAAGAAAAUUUGGCCAAGAAUUUUAUAUGUUAUUCUAAAUCGCCAACAGGAGGUCCAAUCUUAUUUGUGAAGAAGAAAGAUGGAUCAUUAUGGAUGUGAGUUUAUUAUUGAAAAUUCAAUAAGAUCACCAUCCAGAAUAGGUACCCUCUACAGUUGAUAUCAAGACUUCUCAAUCAACUCAAUCAAGCUAAGAUCUACACAAAAAUAGAUCUAUAGAGAGUAUACAAUUUAGUAUGUAUUAAAGAAAGAGAUGAAUGGAAGAUUUUAUUUCAAACUAGAUAUGGACAUUUUGAAUACAAAAUUAUUGUGGGGAAUAAUUGCCUUGAAAAAACACCGGAUUUCUUAUUGCUAUUGAUUGCUCUACUAUAUUGUAACUCUAGAACAUUCAUAAUACUCUAUAAAAUAUGAAUCCUUUGUAAAAUUCAAUUGCUUUCAUAUCAAAAAAUCCCUUCCUUUAAACACUUACAAAACAAAACACAAGAGAAUCAAAACUCCCCUAAAAAAUUCUUAUAUCCCAUUUUUAAGACAAUUGCUCUUUUUUUCCCAAAAUUCCCAAUUCUAAACUCUAACUCUAUCUCUAAAUCCUAAAUCCUAACUCUAUCUCUAAACCCUAAAUCCUAAACUUUACUUCCAAAUCCUAAAUCCUAAGCCCUUUUAUUUUUAUUUGAGUAUGUAUAUGUCUUAAAAGAAAAAAGAAAAAAUUAGGAUUGAGGAUUCUUGAUGAUUGAUACUAUCUCACUUUAAGCCACUAUUAACUUCUAGCUUCUUCUUUUUUAAAAGAAGCUAUAUAUCAAUCUAUCAUAAAGAUGAAUAUAUAGAAGACAUGGACAUCACAUAUCAUGCUACUAUUAAGAGAUAUUUCUUACUUCCACCCAUAGGUGAUAAGUGUCCUUAUAACCUAAUAUAAUCUCCUAAUGUAAGCAUUGUAGAGCCAAUCCUUUGAAUAUCCUCAAUAAAUUAAUUAAAGAUUUUUAAAGAAUAUUCUUUUUUCAUCUCUCCCCAUGUACUUCCAUGGAGAUUUGAACUCGAGACGUCUUAAGUGCCAUCAAUGCACCUUAUCAUCCAUCCACUCCACAAGCCUAAAUUACUAGAUGUCAAUAGUCUCAAUUCUUCUCCCUAUAAGCUUGUUGCUUGACAUCUUUUCUUUCUUUAAAUCAUUAUUUCUCACAAACUAUAAUCUAUUUUUUUAUAAAAUUUUGUAUACCUAUUUAUAGAUCUAUUAAAAAUAUAUUCAAAUUUUUUUACAUUAAAUGGAUACUUUAAAAAUUAAUUAUCUUAAAUCCUAAUUUCUCCUUAUAUAAACUUACUUUUAAUUUUUAACAACUAUAAUACUUAUUGCUAAUAGAAUUCACUCAUUUAUAUAUAUUUUUAUUAAUCUUUAUUCUAUUAUAAUAUUUAAUUAAAUAAUUAAUUCUUAUUUCUAAUUUUUUUUCAAAAAUAUUUUAUUAAAUAAAAAAACAUAAGUUAAGAACUAAUAGAUUUAAUAAUUUUAAUCUAGUUUUUAUUUAUCGUACUCAAACAAGAUAUGACAUCCACCAUCUCCAAUCCUGCACAUCCUCCAAGGUUGUGUUGUAAUAUAACUAUAUGAUAAAAGAUAAUAAUAUGGAUCUUAUUAUAAAAGAGCUAAGUUAAAAAAUAAAGUAGAAAAAUAUGGAUAAAAGAUAGGAAGGUAGUAAAACUUUUAGUAGUAAUGUUGUCUUUUUUAAAAAAUAGCUUCUACUUACUUUGUAGGGCCAAAAAUAAAGCAAAAUAAGGUAGAUUGGAAACAUAAAAGAUGUAAACAUCUUAAGAAGGAAGUUAAGAGUAAAUUUUAGCAAAAAUUAUCUUAAAAAAUUAGAUAUUGAUACCCAAAAAAGGCCGAUUAUGAACCUGGGUUUAAAACAGAUCCCAACUCACAAAAUAGAGUUCCAACGACGAUUCGUAGAUUCUUUUGCAAAUUGGAGAAUGGAAUUUGAUAGUAGACUAGAUAAGGUUUCUAUUAGUAUUAGUUUUGGGCAAUUUGAAUUUUUAUUGACUCUGUAAGAGCUUUAUAAAGUCAAAUUUGUUUUUGGAUGACUUACAUUUUGUGAAAUAAAAUAGGAUUGAUAUUUUGGACAAUUUAAAGAGUUUUGUAAUAGAUCUAUGGAUAAAAUUCUAUGGAAUAAUGGUUAUAUUUGUGCUUAAUAUGUAUUGUAAUUAUUAGCUUCAUCUACAAGUUGAAGUGAGGAUUAUUGAGAUUUAAGUGGAUGAAGGUCUCAAAAAGUAGAAUUUUAGAUCUAGUGAGGGUUUUUAAGAUUUAUUGCAAUCUAAUAUUUGGAUUGGAGUGAAAUUUAUGUGUAAAGAUUUUAGAGUUGUUUUACUAUAUAUAUGAGAAUUUUGGGAUCAAUUGAAUGGUAAAAAAGAGAGAUAUUGGCUUUGGUCUACUGAAGCUUGAAUGCAACGAGAGCAACAAUGACCAAUCCUUGUAAAACUCGUCCUUAAAAAGAAGAAAAAUGUCAUGAACAUAGAUACUUACUCUAAUAUUUACAUAUAUGAUUAAGUAGAAGUAUGUAAAAAUAGAUUUAUUUCAUAAUAUUUUUAAAAAAAGCUUCCUUAAAGCUUUGUAGACAUUGCUUUGAUUUUAUAUAUAUUUGUAGUUGAACUUAUCACCUCUCUUUGGUCUCUUUUACAAAAAUCCAUCUUUAAAAAGAUAGUCAUAUGAUUGAUGUCAAAUAUCCUUAAAAGACUUAUCCAACCAACCUUCUUGCCUCUUUAUUGUAUUUAAAUAAAUUCCAAUAUCUUUAAGCCUCCCUUCAUAUAAAUCCUUUUUGAAGGCUUCAAUCUUUUCAUUUCUACUCACUUCUUCAAUGACAAAUGAAUAUCCAUAGGUCUUUUUAUUUCUAUCUUCAAGAGCCAUCAUCUCUUCUUCACCAAUGUAUCUAGCUCUAGAUAACAUAUCUGCUACCAAAUUAUCUUUGCCAGUGAUGUGCUUCAAAACCGGAUUUAAUAUUCAAAUAAAAGCUAUCCAUCUUAACAUAGCAAUAUCCAUAGUAGAAUAAUUACUUAUCAUACUAAGUAAAGGUAGACAAUCCGUUUUCAAAACCACAUUUGCUCCAAUCAAAUAAUUUCUCUCAACCUUUAAUACUGUAAGUGCUCCCCAAAGUUUCCGCUUAACUUGUGGAUAUGCUCUUUGUCUAUCUGUAAGAAUUUUGGCUCUAAACCUUAUAACAAAUCUCCUCCUUUCUUGAUCAUUUUGUCCAAUAGUCCAUCCAAUUGCUAUUGGACUAGUAUCCACCUUUACUACUAAGCCUUCCACAUUGAUAAUCCACUUGUUUAAAGAGAGGUGGUGAAGUUAAAAUCUUCUUUAAAUUUUCCAUAGCUUCUUCAUAUUCCUCCUUUCAAAUAAACUUUUUACCUUUUCUUAAUAACUUGUAUAGUGGUUCUGAAAUGUCGACAAAAUGAGGCACUCAAAUAUGAUAAAAUACACAUGCACUCAAAAAACUUCGAACUUCGGUAAUACUAUUGCAUGCUUUCAUUUUAGAUAUAGCAUUAAUCUUAUCUGAUUUUAGUUUUCUACCAUAUUUUCUACAUAUAUGUUCCACUACUAGAAUUUCUUUGACUCCAAAAGUUGAUUUCUUCAAAGAUAGUGUUAACUUUACAGAUUGAAGCUUCUUCAAUAUUUGAGCCACAUCUUCAAUAUGUUUCUUAAUAAAUAUUCUACAACCAUUUGUAUUAAUAGUUUUAUUUCUUUUUUUAUAUUUGUAAUCUUUUAUUAGUAUAUCAUUCAAAAAUAGAAUGGUAUUCUCUAACAUAAAUUCUUUCAAUAUAUGGUUUAUUACAUUUUUCAUAUGAGCCACUGAAUUGGUUGCACCUUGAGGUAAAGUACACAUUCUCAUCAAACCCAAAGGAGUUUUCAUCGUUGUAAGAUCUCUAUUUUCUUCUGCAAAUUGGAAUUAAUAAUUCCUUGAAUAUAAGUCUCCAAUAGAAUAGAUAGCAUGACUACAAAAUUAUUCUGCUACUUCAUCUACAACUGGUCUAGAUCCCAUAUUUCUAAUGCUUACCUUGUUUGUUGGUUGCAUAUCUUGAAUGAAUCUCAAUGCUCUUGAUUUCUUAGGCACUGUGAACCAUCUAUUUGAAUAGGGAGCAAUUGAAGGUUCUAGAAUUUCCAUCUUCACUUUUUCUUUCAACAAUUCUAUUAAUUUAGGAGAUAAAGCUCUUGAUAUUCAAAUAGGCUUGAAAUCCCAUGGAACAUGUGGCACAGUAAAAAUCACCAUUGGUGCAAUGAUACUAAGAUCCACACAACCUAUUUCAUUAGGUGUGAAGGCAAAUGCUUUACCAUGUCUAAUAAGUAUUUCUUGAAACAUCUUCUUUUUUGAUGUUGUUAAAAAUUCACUCUCUAAUCUUUAUUUUAGUCAAUGAUUCUAUACUGAAUUCAUGUCCAAUCUUUUGCUUCUUCCUUAAUCUUGGUUCUUUAAGUUCUUGCUUGAUAUGUUUCAUGGUAUUAGAUGGUAAUUGAAUAGCUAUCGACUUAAUCUUCUUAGCCAUUGUCUUAUACUUUGUUUGAACUAUAGCCUCAUGCUUUAGUUCAUAGCUACCACCAUCUUCCAUACUUUCUAUUAUCUCCUUCAAUUCUUAAUAAGCUUUUUUUGAAUGCAAAUUUAUCCAUACUUCUUUUUCUUUGUUUGUUUCUAUGCUUUCCAAAACCAUCAUCAAAUCAUCUUUUAAACCUAUUUCAUCUAAUACUCCAUCUAUAGCUUCUUUUUUUGAAAUCAAAUCCAUAUUUUUAAAGUUUUUUUCUUGUUACUUCAUCCUUCUUCUAUCUACUGAAUUCAAAUCUUUAAUUUUUCUAAAAUUCAUAAAGCUACUUUCAUUCAAAUCUAAAAAUAUAUUAUUUAAAAUAUUUAUACUAAGGUUGGCAUAAUUUUCAUCUGCAUCCUUGUGUCCUCUUUUUACACGGUACUCUCUAAACAUUCAAAAAUCUAUCUUUGGAUUCCAAAUGUACUUCCCUUAAUUGAUCUCAAUGCCUCUCAUGAAUAGGCUUAACCGUAAAGAAUUGUACUACCUUCUCUCCAUCACAACUACAAAUUCUAGCAUAAUGGGAACUAUCAUCCUAAACUCUAGUUUCUAUUCUUAUAGUAGUGAUAUAAGGUUGAAAAAGAAUUACCAGAGAUGUAGCUGAAUUUUGUACAAAUUUUUUUUGUUCCACCUCCACAUCUCCAAUUCUUGUUUUUAUUGCUGAACAAGCUCCAUAAAGAUCUCCUUGUUGGUUAUUUGCUACUCUAAUCAUCCAUCCAUGAUUCAUGUCAAUUGGCCAUUUAUCCUUUUUAUACACUUUCCUUGACAUAAUGUUAAUUUCCAAUCCAUGAUCAAUCAAUGCCAACACUAGAUCAUUUAAAUUGCUAAGCUUCUUUUGUAUUUCUGUGGUUGCUCUAAGCCAAUAAAAAAUCAAAUAUCUCACUCCAUCUUCUUCUUGAUCAUCAUUCUUAAUACAAUUUGCAUCUAGAGCUUCUUGUUCUUGAUGUACUCUCAUAAAUAUAUUAUUAUUGAUCAAAGUCUUAUCUUUUAAGUUUGCUUCUCUCAUUACUCUUGGUAUUGCAGAUUGAAAAAAUUCAUGUCCUAUCUCUUCUUCUUCAUCUUGAAUCAUUUGAGUAUCUAAUGCCUCAAUCAUAAUAGCCUUAGUUGUCAUUUGUUUCUUUCUUUUUAUUACAUUAAUGAUCAAUUCAUGGAAAUUCCUUUUUGCUAUACCAAGAGCUUCCUUCACGAUAAAUUCAAUUUUGGCAUCCAAAAUUUUCUCUUCAAAAAUACUCUUCAUAUCAAUAGAUGUUUCAAUAUCAGAUUGAAGUUUAUAAGCAAGAUUUUUACCUUUAACCUUCUCUGAUGUAUCUUUUUCAUUUUCUUUCUUCUUCUCUAGUGCUCUUUUUUUGAACGUAAAUUCAGUAGAUUUUUCUUGUUGAGUAACUCUAACUCUCUUUUUUUCAAUGACAACACUAUAUAGAUUUAUCGAUCUUCUCCUAAAAAUCCUCUAAUGCUCAAAGCAUCAACCGGAUCUUUCCACUUAGUCAUUCUUUUAAUAACCUCAGUUCUUCUUUUUAUAGCUUCUAUUGUAGAUGAAUCUACAACCUUUACUUCUCUUUAUCUCACUUUAAUGGUAUAAGACUCUGCUUUUUUUUUAGAUAGAGUACUACUCUUAUUAAUUUUUUCUUCUAUCAAUUUUUUUAUACCUCUUUUCUCAAAAUUGAUCAUAAGAGGUUCAUUAGAGCUUGAAAGUCUUAUCUUUCCUUCCUUGAAAUAAAUAAUACCUUCUUUGAUUGCCGCUUUAUAGUUGUCACAUUUAUCCCGCUUUUGGCUUGGACUAUCACACCACAUACAUCUUUUGAUAUAUCCUCUAACUCCUUCUGGAACAUUUGAUGUGCUAGAUUUUUGAGAUCUUUUCAAUUCUAUCAUUUCCACCUUCAAAUCUCUCAUACUUUUGAUUAUUUCUUCCAAUACUUCAUCAUGAGUAAUCUUAUUCAUCUUUUGAAUUGAUGAGGAAGUUUGGAUAGUGGGCGCUAGAUCCACUUGUGCCAAAUAACUCUAAGUCUUGAAUUUUUUUUGCUUAGCCAAAAGUCUAAUUUUUUCCUUUAUCUUUUCUCAAUCGUUAGUAAAGCCAUUCUUAGAUGCUUUAUUUUUUAAUUGAAAGAGUAAUUUAUUCUCCAAAUCAUCAUUUAUUGCUUGCAAAAAUAACUUAAUUUUCCUUAUAUCUAGCAAUUACCUUUCAUACCUUGAUAAUUGACCGAAUUUCUUUUCAAAAUCCUUAAUUAACUCACUUGGGCCCAUUUGACAUCCAAGCCUUUGUUUAAUCUACUCUAAAAAUGACUUCUUGGUCAUUCUUUCUAAAUCUUCUUCAAAAAAAUUAUCUUUGAGUUGUUCUAAAAAUUUGCUCCAAAAAAUAGAGUCUUCAUGCAACUCUCUCAGUCUUUUUUCUAAUCUCGAGAACAACAGCAAGAUCAAAAGCAAAGAUCAUCUUUACUUCUAGAACUUGAUAUAUUUCUAUCUUGCAUACAUAAAUCCUAAAGAAAUUGGUGAUGUUUUCUCCUUCAAAUCUUCCAAUCUUGUCAACAAUAGCUUGUAAGUCUUUUGUAAUACCUUUGCCUUAUUCUUGAACUUAUUGCUGUUGCUCCAUAAAUUAUGCAAAUGCUCAAAAUAAGUCAUUUGAAGCAAUUCCACUUGGCAUUUCAAAACCUAAAUCAACAUCCUCUAUUGUCUCUAGCAAAGCAAUAAGUGCUUCAAGGCUCUUUCAAUGGAAGCACUAAUAUAUCUUGGAGAGAGAGUUGCCUUGAGAAAACAAUGAGAUUCUUACUGCUAUUGAUUGCUCUACUAUAUUGUAAUUCUAGAAUAUUCAUAAUAUUCUAUAAAACAUGAAUCCUUUAUAAAAUUUAAUUGCUCUCAUAUCAAGAAAUCCCUUCCUUUAAACAUUUGCAAAACAAAACACAAGAGAGUCAAAACUCCCCUGAAAAGUCUUUAUAUUUCCUUCCUAAGAUGGAUACUCUUUUUUUCCCAAAAUUUCCAAUCCUAAAUCCUAAACUCUAUUUCUAAACCCUAAAUUCUAAACCUUACUCCCAAAUCCUAAAUCCUAAACUCUACUCUCAAAUCUUAAACCCUGCUUCCAAAUCUUAAACCCUACUCUCAAAUCCUAAAUCUUAAAUCCUACUUCCAAAUCCUAAACCCUUUUAUUUUUAUUUGAGUAUAUAUAUGUCUUAAAAGAAAAAAGAAAAAAUUAUGAUUGAGGAUUCCAGAUAAUUGAUGCCAUCUCACUUUAAGCUACUACCAACUUCUAGCUUCUUUCUUUUUAGGAAAAGCUAUACAUCAAUGUAUCAUGAAGAUGAAUAUAUAGAAGGCGUGGGCAUCACACAUCAUGUUACUAUUAAGGGAGAUUCUUUGUUCCCACCCAUAGGUGAUAAGUGCUCUUGUCAUCCAACAUAAUCUCCUAAGGCAAGCAUUGCGGGACCAAUCCUCUGAAUAUCUUCAAUAAAUUAAUUGAAGAUUUUUAAAGAAUAUUCUUUCUCCAUCUCCUUCCAUGUAUCACCAUGGAGAUUCAAACUCGAGACCUCCUAGGUACGACCAAUGUACCUUAUCAUCCAUCCAUCUCCACAAGCCCAAAUUACUAGAUGUCAAUAGCUUCAAUUUUUCUCCCUAUAAGCUUGUUACCUGACCUCUUCUCCUUCUUUAAAUCUCUAUUUUUCACAAAUCAUAAUCUAUUUUUCUAUAAAACUUUAUAUAUCUAUUUACAGACCUAUUAAAAAUAUGUCCAUAAAUUUUUACAUUAAAUGAACACUUUAAAAAUUAAUUAUUUUAAAUCCUAAUUUCUCCUUGUAUAAAAUUAUUUUUAAUUUUUAAUAACUAUAAUACUUAUUGCUAGUAGAAUUUAUUCAUAUAUAUAUAUAUAUAUUUUUAUUAAUCUUUAUUUUAAUCUAAUAUUUAAUUAAAUAAUUAAUUCUUAUUUCUAAUUUUUUUUUAAAUAUUUUAUUAAAUAAGAAAACAUAAGCUAAGAACUGAUAGAUUUAAUAAUUUUUAUGUAGUUUUUAUUUAUCGUGCUCAAACUUGACAUGACAAUGUCAUGCCUUUUGAACUUACAUAUGUACUAGUAGCUUUUUAACAUCUAAUGAAUAAUAUUUUUUUAGAGUUUUUGGACGAUUUUGUUGUUUGUUAUCUGGACGACAUCUUGAUCUAUUCUAAGAACAUAGAUGAAUAUGAACUUCAUAUUUGUCGUGUGUUACAAAAAUUAAGAGAUGCGGGACUGUAGGCUAAGAUAGAAAAGUGUAUUUUCUACACUACUCGAGUCAACUUCUUAGGAUACAUCAUUUCAAAUAAUGGACUUGAUAUGAACCGUAAGAAAAUUCAAACUAUUCUGGAUUAAAAAAUCCCAAAAAUUGGUAAGAGAUGUUCAUUGCUUUUUGGACUUUGCCAACUAUUAUCAAAUCUUCAUCAAAGACUUCUCUCAAAUUAUAGCCCUACUUAUACGUUUGACUUGCAAAGAUAAAUUUAAGUGGAAUAAAAAAGCUGAAGCAUCUUUUCAAACUUUGAAGUCGACUUUUAUUUCUACACCAAUCUUAUAUCGCAUCGACUUUUCUAAGGCAUUUUUUUAAAAAAAAAUGCAUCAGACUUUGCUUUAGGUGUUUUAUUAUCACAAAUAAGAAUAGAUGAUAAACUUCACCUAGUAGCUUUUUAUUCCAAGAAAUUUUCAACAACCACGAUUAACUAUUGAUCUAUGAUAAAGAGCUUCUUGUAAUUGGAGAUUCUUUCUAAGAAUAGUGUCAUUAUCUAAAAGGUGCUUCUAAUCCAGUCAUUAUAUAUACAAAUCAUAAGAACCUAAAAUAUUUCAUGUCAGCACAUAUUUAGAAUGGUCUCUAGGCUUGUUGGAGCAUUUUUUUAUCAAGAUUUGAGUUCAAUAUUACUUAUUGGCCAAGAAAACAACAAGUUUUGUUCAAUACCUUUUUUAGUCUUUUUUUAUAUUGCAUCUAAAGAAAGAGAUGUAACUUUGGAUUAACAAAGGAUAAUUUUAUUGAAAUCAAAAUAAUUUCAUCUUUGAGUAGUAAAAUCAACAUUGACUAUUGAUUUAACUUUUUUUAAAUAAAUUUAGUUAACUAUGUCUUCUAAUCUUCUUGUUCAUGAUAUUAAGAAUACUUCUUUUAAAUCUCGUGAUACUUCUAAGUUUGAAUUCAAGAACAACAUACUUUAUUUUCAAGGACAUCUAUAUGUGCUAGAAGGAGAAUCACGUUUACGAGUUCUUCAAGCAUGUCAAGACUUUCUAGGAGCAGGACAUUUUGGACACAAUAAGACUCUAAAGCUAAUAUCUAAAGAUUUUUUAUGGUUGCAAAUGUAAAAAGCUAUAAAAGACUUUAUUCAAUCGUGUGACAUUUGUUCAAGGUCAAAAACUCUUUGGCGUCUAUCUUAUAGACUUCUUCAACCAUUACCUAUUUCAAAACAACUAUGGUCUUCUAUUUCUAUGGAUUUUAUUAUGGAUCUUCUAGUCUCAAAAUUGUGUGAUUCUAUAUUUGUGAUAGUAGAUCAUUUUACCAAAAUGGCAUAUUUUAUACCAUAUACAAAAUCUAUCACAAGUGGAGAAAUUGUCAAACUUUUCUUUGAUAAUAUCUAUUAAUAUUAUGGAUUGUUAAAAGAUAUUAUAAUGAAUAAAAGAACUCAAUUUGUAUCAAGAUUUUGGAGAAUUCUUUUUAAGAUUUUAAAGAUAGACCUAAAGCUUUCUUUGGCCUUUCAUCCUCAAACUAAUGGAGAGAUAGAGCAUAUAAAUGAAGUUUUGGAACAAUACUUAAGGUGUACCAUCAAUUAUCAAUAUGAUAAUUGAAGAACUCACUUGCCAAUGGCAAAGUUUGCUUAAAAUAAUAAAAUAUAUUCUUCCACGUAACAAACACCUUUCUUUUCUAAUUAUGGUUAUUAUCCAUGACUUGAUAUUUUUGACUUUUUAAAAGUUAAUAAUCCUACCGUAAAUAGUUUAACAAAUUGUUUGUCAAAGCUACAUGCAACAAUGAAGGUGUAAUUAAAAGAAGCUCAAGAAUGACAAAAAAUCAAUGUGGAUAUCUAUCGAAAGGAAUAACCACAAUUCAAUGUAGGUGACAAGGUAUGGUUAUUUCGUCAUAAUAUCAAGACUACUUAUCUUUGUGAUAAAUUAAACUACUGCAAGCUUAGAUCUUUUCUUAUUUGUGAACAAAUCGAUCUAGUUGCUUAUCAAUUAUAUCUAUCAGUGUUAUAUUGUGUCAAGGAUACAAAUUAAAAGAAGAUACAUAAACUCAUGGAAUCUAUAUCUAAACGAAAGUGACAAAAUAAAAGAAAGUAUGUAUAUUCAAGGAAGAACUAGAAUGGCUAUUGCCAAAGACUAGAAAACAUAAGACUCUUGAAACUAAACUAAAAAGUAAGAAAAGAAUUGACAAGAGUGAGGAAGGCCUCCUUCUUGCAUCUAUAUAUACUAUUUAACUAAAAAAUAUGUAGCAAUAUGCUAUAAGACUUCUAAUACACAUCCAACUUACAAGACACAUGUCUAAUUUGCAAAGCAAGUUUCCUAAAUGUAUGCCAUAUGUCCAACUUAUACUACAAGUGGUCAACAUGUCAACAUGUGGCCUCUUUGUUGGCCAAGUUUUCAACCUAUCAAUCACCUAUAGACAUGUAUAAAGGCAAAGCAGCAUCUAUGAAGUUUUUAGGAAGCUUUUUAUAAGAUAUUAUUAUAUUUAUCUACUUUGAUUUAUUUCUAUUUACUCCUAUUAUCUAGAUAAUUAUCAAGAUAAAUAUGUAAGUAAUAUUAUCUCCCCUUCUAAGGACGACUUCCAUGAAGAGUAGUGAUUAUAUAUUGAUGAAGUCGAAGAUGCAUCAAACUAUAUUUGUCACAUAUUCUUUGUUCUCUUCAAAAGAGGUUGAUAGGUCCUUCAACCAUUGAUAAUAUCCUAGACUAGGACGAAAAAGACUACCUAAAUAUUUGAUCAUUAUUGAAGCCUUCAUAACUUCUUUCAAAGAAAACAUUAGUAAUACCAUUAGGAGUAGUUCCUACCUCCAAAAAUAUCAAUAAAUAUUGGGAGUUCCUUCUGAGGUCGUGGUACUAAAUGCAUUAUAUCUCACCAUUUGUUCGAGGAAGAACAUGUCAUUCUUAAAGAGUAUAAUACUUUUAAGACUGAUAAAUAUAUUUUAGAUAUAUUCAAGUAUUUUAUAAAUGAUAUUUUUUAAAAAUUCUUAGGUAAGUUUUUUAUUUGCUAUCUUUAUGAUAUCUUAAUCUACUCCAAGAUUUCUAAAGAAUAUAAAAAAACAUGUAAGAUUAUUCUUAAAAAAUUUACAAGAUCUAAGAUUAUAUACCAAAUUUUUCAAAAAUAUAUAUUCUAUUAGCCAAAAGUAGAAUUUUUUGAAUAUAUUAUAUCCAAUGAAGGAUUGUUGAUGGACCCAAAGAAAUUUCAAGUUAUAAUAGAGAGUGCAACUUCAAAGAAUGUAUAGGAUAUAAAAUAUUUUUUUAGAUUUGUUAAUUUCUAUUAAAUAUUUAUCAAGAAUUAUUUCCAAAUUAUUACUCCUUUUACUUGAUUAACAUCUAAAGAUAAAUUAGAAUAAGAAUCUCAAGUACAAAGGGCUUUUCAAGAUUUGAAAGUAACUUUUACUAUAUCUUCAAUUUUAAUGCAUCAAAAUUUUAUAAAGGCCUUUUAUUUGGAAAUUGAUGUUUUCAACUUUGUAUUAAAAGGUGUACUAUUAAAGAUAAAAAAUGAUAGAAAGUUCCAAUUAAUUGUGGUGUAUUCUAAAAACAAUUCAUCUAUAAAAAUUAAUUAUGAGAUUCACAAUAAAGAACUUCUUUCGAUUGUAGAUUCUUUUUAAAAAUGGUAUCACUUACUGAAAGGCACUAUACAUCUUGUAAUUAUAUAUACAGAUUACAAAAAUUUGGAGUAUUUUAUAUUAGCUUAGAUUUUGAAUUGCCACCAAGUUCAUUGAAAUAUAUCAUUCUCUUAUUUUAAUUUCAUGAUUAUAUAUCAAUCAAAGAAGCAAUAAAGACUAUCAAACUCUUUAUCAAGAAAAUAAUAUCUUGCUUCAAAGGCUAGAGAAGUGGCAAUUAAUCAACAAUAUUUUACUUUCUUGAAGCCAGAACAAUUUGGUGUUUAUACUACUUUUAUAGUUAUACUUCUUGAUUUAAAUUUUCUUGAAAAAAUUUGUGCAGCAUCAACUAAGAAUUCAUUAGUUUUUAAUAUCAAAUAGUGCCUUGACCAUGAGAAGUUCAAAUUUGUGAAAGAUCUUUUACAUUGUGAAGAUUGUUUAUAUAUUCCAAAAGAAUCAUUGCGACUUCAUGUUCUUCAAUCUUAUCAUGAUUUUUCAACUAGAGAAUAUUUUGGAUUUAAUAUAACAUUCGAGUUUAUCUCUCAAGAUUUUUGGUGGCCUCACAAAUUGAAGACCAUGAAAUACUUUGUUCUUUCAUGUGACAUUUGUUCAAGAUUUAAGAAUUCUAGUCAUUAUUUUUAUAGACUUCUAAAGCCACUACCAAUUUUAAAGCAACUAUGGCCUUUAAUAUCAAUGGAUUUUAUCAUUAAUUUUCCAUUAUUAACUACAUUUAAUGCUAUAUAUAUUAUUAUAGAUUGACUUAUAACAAUGGCACAUUUUAUCUUAUACAAAAAGGUAAUUUUCAAAGAAGGAACGGCAAGGCUCUUUUUUGAUAAUAUAUAUUAAUAUCAUGGCCUAUCUCAUCAUUUUUAAUUGUGGAUUUUAAUUUAUAUCAAAGUUUUGAUAUUUUCUUUUUGAGAUAUUGGAGAUGGAUAUCAAACUUUCUUCUACCUUCCACCCUCAAAUUUGUUAUUAAAUAAAAUAAGUCAAUCAAGUUUUGAAGUAGUAUUAGCAAUGUACCAUCAACUAUCAACAAGAUAAUUUGAUCUUAUAUUUACUUUUAGCAAAGUUUGCUUAUAAUAAUAUUUUUUAUUCUUCAAUCUAAUAAAUACUAUUUUAUGCUAAUUAUGGUUGCCAUUCAAAGCUUGAUUUGUUACGUAUACCAAAGGAUGAAAAUCCAAUAGUUGAAGAUUUUGAAAAACAAUUAUAACAACUCCAAAAAAUAUUGAAGUUCUAUUUAUAAAUAGCUCAAGAUUAUUACAAAGUAUUUUUAGAUAAAUUUAGAAAAAAAAUCUUUAUUUUUCAAGUUAAAAAUAAAUUAUGGCUUCUUUGACAAAAUAUCAAGACCAAGUAGCUUUGUAACAAGUUGAACUACUAAAGAUUGAGGCCAUUUUGUUUUCAAAAGCAAAUCAAUCUAAUGGCUUAUUGAUUGAAAUUACCUAGAUUAUCUAUUUUUGGGAAGAUUAAAGAAAUAGUUUGAAAAGCUUUUCAAGAUUUUUUUAUCUUUAAGCAACAUGAAAAAUUCUUAAGAAACUUUUUAAUACCUAGUAUAUAUUGGAGUCGAGGAUAAAGAAAUCUUUAGUCUCAACAACAUAUCUCUUGGAGCUUUAGCUCAAUUUUCUUAGUAUUGAUCAUAUAUUCAUCUGUUUAAUUAAGUUUAUACUAACUUUCUUAUUGAAACUCUUUUGUUCAAUUUCUUAUUUAGUCUAUUGUAUAUUAUAUCAAUAUAUAUAUAUAUAUAUAUAUAUAUAUAUAUAUUUAUUUAUUUUAUAAUAUUAAUAAAAAUAUAUUUACAUGAUUAUUUGUUAUAUUUUUUACAUCAAGAUUUAAGAUUAUGGUGUACAUCAUAUCAUAUAAAUAAUAUUUUUAAUAUAUUAUUCCAUAAGCAAAGCAAGAUUCUUUAUGCUAAAAUAUAAAGAUAUAUAUAUAUAUAUAUAUAUAUUAUUAAUUUAAUUAUAAUUUUUUCUAUUGCCAUCACGACCUAUUCAACUUAUUGUCCUUUACAAGCUUAUAUACUCUUUUCAAAUGUUCUUAUACCCUUGUCUUGUAUGCAAUGCAUUCAUUGCUUAAUAAUUUUUUACACCAUAUUUCUUUCUCAUAGAAUUUGACAUUGCCAACACCUUUGCAAGCUAUGAUGCUUUGAUCACCUACUUGUAAAAAGAGGGCUUGGCCACAAGUUAUGCAAUUACAAAAAAGAAAAAUUAAUGUCUCUCGUAAGCGUCUUGUGUUGGAUUUUCACCAUGGCAUUAAUAAAGUAUAUUGGUAGCAUAUAAUGGAUGGCAAAUUGUAAUUGUAGUAGCAAAAACUAUGGUUAGAUAAGGAAUGUCCUAUACAUAUGUAAGUACAUAUUUGAUUAAUGGUUUGUGCCAUUUUUACUAAUUAAUAAAGACAUAUAACUUAUAAUAUUGAAAACCAGUUUAUACCAUUUUCCACAUACUGUUAUUAAUGCAUUAAAUAAACCAUAUCAAGAAAUAUGCAUAGAAACUAACUCUAACUCCUCAAUCUCAUAACUCAUUUUUUAGAAAUCUACUAAGGGACACUAAAUGUUUGAAUUACAUCUAAAGAUGUUCAACCCGGCCCACUACCACGAGAAUUGAUACUACCCACCCCAAAGCUUGGAACUAAAUGACGAAGGGGUGCCACACGUGUGGGUCCAGCUCGGACACAGUUAAUAUUCGUGUUCAACAAUAGGUCCGCGGCCCCCAUCUCCACGCCACCCUACCCCAUCGCCGAGUCAUAUCCCUAUGGCUGUCCACACUGACCGAUUCAUUCAACUCACAGAAGAAGCCCUGCCUUGUUCACAUGGCGUCCCCUUCGGCAGGGCUCAGAUCUGCGAAGAAGGCUCACUCGUCCAUGAACACUCUCACUCAUUCUCCCCAUCGAACCCUCUCCUUCCCCUCUUGAAAAUUUAUGAGGUAGUUGCUCCAGGUUCCACAAUACAACACUCUCCGCUACACUUCACGGUGCCAGCUCAGUCAAUUGUCGAGCUUCGGCUAACACCACAGGCCUUCUUCCAUCUUUCCACAUACGAAUUGUCCAUUUAAUGUGUCAGUACCGACCGGGCCAACGGAAAAAGCCAUUCUCCCAUCUGUUUAUAUGCACGCGAUGACUAGGCAGUGUAUAAAUCUCCUCUGAACUUGCUCACAUGUGCUUUAAAAAGAUUCGCAUCUUCUUGCUAAGUGGUCAACAACCCUCAGAUUGCAACCAGCCACCUAAUGUUUCUGGCAUUCUUGGUGGCAAUUAUCGCAAGGAGACUGUAAAAUGUGCUCUUCUGGACGACCUUGAAAUCGUGGCCUGAUCCCUUCCCUGCUAUCUGUUUGAAAGGCAAUGCCUGCUUCCCCAUGUUACACACAUCGCCCUUAUCACUAGCUUUGGGUGUCACAUGGGAGUUCCACAAAUUCAGAAUGGCCAUGCUUCAUAAUGCAUCCCUUGCAACUAAUAAUAAUCUGUUCCCAUUCUGUAUUUCCUGUCACUGUUGAACAAGGGUGGGAGUCGAGUGAUAUUUCAGUUUUUGGUGUAUGUAUCAAUCCAGACACGUUUUACAUUCUGACACUGCAAGUAAACAUGAAGCAGUGAGUUUGCCAGGUGUUGGUUCAAGAGAAAGUAGAAGUUUUAGGACAAAGGGUUUACUUUGAACUCUGGUGUUCAUACCAACUUGCAAUAAUUACAAAAAUUCUUACCCUCCUCGAAAAAGGGUCAAAUGUUAGAGUUUUAAUAAGGGUUUCCAUGUAAAGCUACACUGGAAUAAACUGAAAGCAUGUAAAGAUAAAAAUGUAUGUGGAUAUAUAUACUUGUACAUGCAAUAGUUUUGUUCAAAGAACAUGAAUUUUUGAAAUUUCAAACCUUUUGCACUUUGCAGCAAAACAUUUUUGUAAAGCAUGAUGAUUAGGUCUGAUCUCUCUUUUGCACUACAAAGUUUAUGGUUCUUUGCCAAUAUCAGGGUCAUAAAUUUACCAAAGCAUUGUUGAUGUGCCAUGUAUAAUAUCCCCUUUGAUAUAUCAGUUAAAAAAAUUCCAAGGACCUUUUUUGAGUCAACACGACUCCUGACAGUCAAAAAGUUUUCUUAUAAAAAAGCUACGUAUAUUUCCACUCUUCGACCAUGUGCAUGCAUAUUCUGAUCAAUUACCAUGUUGACCACUCCCUGUGGAUAACCUUUCUGGUAGCAGAUAUAUAUUUGCUGUUCAUUUCUCCUGGUAUCAUACUACUAAAAUAUUCAAUCCUCCAACUAAUCAUCUUUACAAUUUUUUUCUUGUGUAGAUUGUAACAAAACUCAAUUUACCUGAAACAAUCAAACAAUUGGAGGAAAGUUCUAGAUAUUUGCGACUGAUAAGUUUAGAUGCUUGUUUGUUUUGAAUACUGUUGUCAAGAACCCAGUCUUUUGUUGGACAUGUUCCAGAAAAGCAAGGCCAAUAGACAUGAUUGUGCUAGUUCCAAAUACCAAUAUUGCUCCUCAGGCCUAAUGUGGCCAAAAAGAAACAGCCCUAAGACGUGUACCAAUGUUCUAUAGACAAUGUAUCUUUAUCCCACAAGGACAAGUAUUCACAAAGCCCACAUUUUGUUCUUGGAAUAUACUUGAAUUGACCACAUGAUUCUUGAAUGCUUUGGUUUCAUUGGAUUUUAUUGAAUGAGGAGUUUCAAGAAUUCAAAGAGAGGAAAAGAUAAAAAUAUAUAAAGAUAAAUAUAGAAGAAAGUAAUUGACAAGCCCUUCAGUAUUUCACAGAAUUUCUAUGUGUUACGUAUCACGUUGUUUACUUAUACACUUGUUUGCACCAUGUACAAAUAAUCUUCCAGAAAUUGAACGAUUCAUACUUUAACCAUUUGGUAACGUGAAAGAAGAAGGGCCUGCAGGAUUACCAACACAAGGAGCUGGCACUCAUUACGUUUGUGUAUGACAGUAUGCUGGUGUUCCUCCGCUUCAAGCUCUCCCUCGUUCGUUCAUUGCGCCCAGCGUGCUCCUUUUCAUCCCCACCGCGAUUCUUUUAGGACUUUGGGCUGGCUCUCUGGGUGUGCUCCAAACCUGGCGGGGCCAACUGGAUGCACUUAUGCUGUAAUUCCCAGUCAACUCAUUCAAGAAAACCUUCUUGCACAGAUCAGGACGGGAGUGUGUUGCAACAGCGUGCCAAGUGAAUGUUCAUCGUUUCAGAAACGCCCAGCUCUUCGUUCAUGGGCAACGCAUUACACACACACUGUAAAACAUUUGAGCCUCAAGGUCCACCACAAUCCACAACAACGCUCAAAGACAAACCCAGAUGUAUUCCUUGCGUGCUUAUACAUGCCUCAGGUGGCUUCUCACCUUGUCCCCCCCCCCCCCCCCCCCUUUAGUAUAACGACCCCCUCAAAUUAUGAAACCACCUGCUCUAACAUGUCACCUGCCGCUGGUGCACCACCCAAAUGGCUCGUGAUCACCAUCAACUAUCUGCACCAUCCUCCAGUUUUGGAAAAGUCUUCAUGAACCAGAGGUACUGUGCCUGAGAUGCUUCACUCAUGUUCUCAAUCUGAGAUGGAUUAGGGGCAUCGACGACGGGUGGGACGGCUGCGUGGGGUAAAUCACCCGGCUGUGCAGCAGCACCUGGCUGCAAAAGGGCAUGAGCUUCACCACCUCCUCCUG